UCUACUUUUCACGUUUGAAUUCAAAACCAUAAUUGUAUCUGUUCUGAUUUAUUUUGUCGUUUCUGUAGAUGUUAAUGCUUUGAAAAUAUAUUAUUUCAAUACAGGCUGAUGGACCUGGAGCCGAGGAGGAGGAAUCUGACAAAUCUAGGUCCGAGGUUAACGAUGAUGAGGAGGAUGAUGAGGAAGGAAGUGGAGAGGUCCUGUGAAUUAACAAUUAACUACAGUUCUUAUUUUAUUGGUCAGAAGAUAAUUAUUUAUGCUGAUGUUUUCAUUGGUCUGUAUGUUGCUUACAAUAGAAUUUAAUGUUUGUUUACAGGAGGAGGAUGAUGAUGAGUAAAGGGACUGUGGGGGGCCAGAAGUUUAGGAUGUGAAGAAAAAUGUCAUGACCUCUACCUUUUGAUUAGUAGUAUCCUAAGAUAAAUAGUUUCUUUUUUCCUUUUAUGGUUUUUAAUUUUUUUUGAAGAGGUUAGUUGAAGAAGAAAAGAAAAAAUUAGUUUUCAGUAGCCAGGCAGUUGCUUAAGCUGCGUCCAUGGCUUUGUACUUUUAUCCUUUUCUAUUAUGCUUAAUGAUAAUGUAGCUAGAAUUUGUCUACGUUUGGCUCGCAUUUUGUUCUUUGAAUUCUUUUCCUAAGCUUUAGCCUUGAGCGCUGAUUCACAUUAAUUGAGUGUGUGUUUUAUUGAUGUGGAAGAUGUAUGAAUCCGUGAUAACUGUUGGAGGAGGUUGCUUUCUUUGCCUUUUUAAUUUUGGGACCAAUUUGUUGUUGGUUGUGUAAACGCCAGCAAUUUGCUAGGUGCCUGCCGAUACAAGAAAAAGAUGCACAGAAAGUAUCUUCGCGAGAUAUUUGGUCAGAACCUAAUCAAGGUAUUAACCUGUGAAAUGGCUUCUAGUUAGGACUUGGCCUUUGAAUAAGAGUUUAGGGAAUUACGAUUUCCAGUUGCGAAUAAUAAUAGGAGCAGGAAAUUACUUAGGACUUGAAUGAAUGCCUGUCGAUAGUGAUCAUAUAUUAUUGGAAUUUCACGGGAUUUCGAGCUUCGUAUUCUUUUCUCAACCUGUUACAUUGGCCAAUUUUUCUUGCAAGUUGCAUUGAGAGGAUUCUAUAAAAAAUAAUUAUACUGCUAAUGCAUAAAAAGUUAAUUUUGAAAAAAUUAAAAUUGUUGUAAUGUUUUUGUAAAUUGAGAGUUUAUGUUUGUUUGCGUCCUUUCAAAAUCAGUACUUGUACACUGCUGCUUAAUUCGCUGCGUUCGAGUUGCCUUUGCUUGUUUUUUUUUUUUUUUUGAUUCCUAUAUUGCUUUUGUUAGGAUCACAUCCCCUGGUCUGGCAAUUCAAUUUUCUAACUGUAAUGCCAGCAAUAUUUUGUAUUUCAAUUCCAAUUGCCCUUACUUUUUAGUGCUGUAGCGUACCUAUUUGUCUUUUUCAAUUUAAUAAAGAUUCGGGAUUGCCCAGUACGGUGUUUAACCUGGAAAACCUUGCACGCAACGAAAUUCUAUGGGCUCUCAUGAAAAAUCCGUUUGAUAAAGAAAAGACUGAAAAGUCAAUCGGUUUUCACCACAUGGGACGAAAAGAUAUUCAUUGGUUUGGGAUUCUGGCCAAUGGGAAGAUGUUGAACGCCAGGCCCCUUUGGCAAAUUCAACGAUUUGAUGACAAAUAUCUUUGGCAUAUUGUAAUAUUGGGUCCAUGUGCCUUUCAUAUUUUAUUUUUUUUUUCUGUGUCUUCAUUAAUUGGAGUAUUAUUCCUUCUCCCUCUCCGCGGUGGAGAGGUUGAGGCUCAAGAAUGGGUCCGUUUUCCGUGUGCAUCGCAUCGUCUACAUUUUGGCACAUGGAAGAUGGAACCAUUGUUAAUUUCUCUAUUUAUUUUUCUGUUCAAUAAUUGAUUGCCAAGUUCUUCUCCUUUGCCUGUUGGGUUCAAAAUAAAUGAUUGUUCAAAAUAAACGGUCGGUGCAAUAAAAUGGCGAAUUUCCAAAAAUAAUGUAAAUGAGAGAAAAAGUCAGAGAAGUGGUGUUGUGUGAUAAUUGAACGGCCUCCGCAAAUGAAAUUAUCAGCUAUUAAAAAAAGAAUUCUUCUCCUUGGCCGUGCACUUGUGUAGGUGGCAUCUUUCCCAUUUCCCACGAAGCUUCUUUUCACCAUAAUUAUUUUCAUUUUACUUAGUCAAGAAUUAGAAAAAAAGGGAAAAGAGACAUUUUACUAAUUACUCUCAUCUUCAAAUUAGAUUUUGUUUUAGCAAUAUAUCUAUCACGUGUUCUCUUCUCUGGAAAAGAGUUAGAUUGAUUAGUAAAGUGUGAGGAGUUAUUUGAUUUAAAACUCCCUAUUGAUAAAAAAAAAAACAAAAUCUCUUAUUCUUUGGUGCAUUAAUCAGUUAUGUUUCACAAUAAAAAGUUAUACCAGCACUUAUCAUCAAAUGAAAGUAUUAUGAGUUUACAUAUACUCCAUACAAUAUUCAUUUCGACCGAGUUUAGUUAAUUAAUUUUUUUUGGAAAAGGUUUUCAUUAAUUAAGUUGAUCACACUUGAAACUUCUCGAGCCAAAACUCUAGCCCACAAAUGUAUAAAGUCCGCACCCAGCUAGCAACUAGGCUCGAGUAUUCGAAAAGAGCGCCAAAACUACGUCGUUGGUCUAAAUUUCGCUUCAAAAAGAAGAGUGAGAGAGUUUUAAAAACCUGCGAGAGCGAAGGGGAGGAAAGAGAGUAGUGAGGCAGCGUCGGAGGAGAAGAGGAGAUAUGGCAGCGGCUGCUCCGGCGAAAUGUUUUCUCGUUACCGGUCCUCCGGUAGUUUAUACUCAUUUCCAAAGCUCUCAAUGCUUUUUUUUUUUUUCUAGAUAAGUUUUAUGAUGUUGAAUAAUUGGUGAAUUUUUGUCCGCAGGGCGUAGGGAAGACGACACUCAUAAUUCGAGUGUUGGAGAGCCUAAAAACUGCUUACCCAAACUUGAAGGUUCAAGGUUUCUAUACUCGUAAGCGCGCUUUCUCUAUCUAUAUUUCUUAUUCUUAUUUCGAGGGAAAAACGUAGCAUUUGAAAAACCUAGUCGAAAUGAAUAUUUGAAUUGAAAAAAAGGUGAAAUAAGAGAAGGAAGUGACAGAGUAGGCUUUGAAGUGGUGACGCUCGAUGGACGUACUGGUCCUCUCGCUUCCAACAAAAUCUCCAGGUAUUAUUUCGUCAUUUUUUUCCUCGUUUUCGUUUUUACUGCUUAGUUACCGUGACAUUUUCUCGUCAUUGUUUGAGAUGAACCGUAUGUCAUAUUUGAUUUUUUCUCUGAAGUGGAGAGAAGCAGUUGAUCGGGCUCAUUGCUAUGUCUUUUGUUUUGUCUGCAUCAAUUGUUGUGCUCGAUUAGUUGAAUUCUUUGUACAAGUAAUGCGAGCUUCUGGAUAAAAUAAGUGUAAGAUACUUCAUUACUUCUGUAUUAGCAUGAAUAUUGUUUUAAAUUCUUAUUAGCUCGAAGUUUUUGUUAAAUUUAGAAAUUUAAAUUGAGUAGGUGACCUUGUUUAGCUCCUUCUUCUAUUUCUUCUGAUUUUGGCUGAGAAUUUGUUGUUUAUUCCUAUGAAGAGGUGCGUGCAGGUGAUUGAGAAUUGUAUUGUGUUUGCUCAAACAAGACAUGUUUAGUAAGUUUUGGAAACAUUCAAGUGAUGCGGCUGUUAAUUUCACUGUUUCUUUCUCUCUGUGGCUCUUUGGUUGUGGUUUGAAACUUUGUCCAAUGUUCGCGAAUUUUUAAGUAGUGAAGUAAUGCUGACUUCCAAUCUUCUUAAAGUGGAUUCAAGGGAAGAAUCGUACAGAACCUGAUAGGCUACUGAAGAUUGUUUCUCUAGUUAUAUCUUUUGACUGGCCCUGGCAUUAGAUGGAUCUGCAGUUUGGCUUUGUCAUUUUCAACUCUGUUCCGCAUUUUCUUUUGAAUUAGCUGUCUUUGGUUAGAUGAUCAAGCCAUUUGUUUUCCUGCUUUGUCUUUUGGAAUGUUGUCAUGUUUCUGACAUGGAGUGGGUGGUAAUGGUGAUUUGAAUUUUUUUUGGCAUUCUUUUGUCCUUAUUUUUCCAUGGCAGCGCUGAGUCUCUUAGAUGGCCUACCGUAGGGAGGUACAGAGUAGAUGUGGCUUCCUUUGAAUCACUAGCGUUGCCAGAGUUGCAGGUGGCUUAAAUAACUGUCAAAUCCAGAUUUAAACUUGUAUUUAUUUUUUCAUUAGAUCUUUAGGUUUGAUUCAUUUGUUAAGUUUGCUUGCAUUCUAAAAAACUCUGUUUACUAAUUGAUGGAAUUUUUAUGACGAUGAUUUUUGUUUCAUAGGUCAAGGAAGAUACUGAACUUUUUAUCAUUGAUGAAGUUGGUAAGAUGGAGCUGUGCAGUUCUUUUUUCUUUCCUGCUGUACUAAGAGUCCUGCAAUCAAAUAUUCCACUCUUGGCUUCUAUUCCCAUACCAAAAUCUGGCAGAGAUAUACCUGGAGGUUUGUGUUUGUGGACCUCUAACUAUUUUACUAUAGUUGCAUGCACCACCUAUUUGGAGCUCAUUGCUGGAAUCAAUUAUCUAUUCAUUUUAAUCAUACUUGAAGCCCAAAUAUUGGUGCUAUUUUUCUUCAGAUGAUAAACCUAAUAGGCAUAUUGAAUGGGCUUAGAAUCUGUAAAACCGUAAGACGAGUCUUUCCAUCUUUCAUCUUAAAAAAUUAAAAAGGCGGGAAAGAAAUAGUAGCACUUUUUGGCCAGAACUAAAUUGAUUAAUGCAUCUCUUUGUUAUUGAAGCAUAACUAUGCUGUCUGCAAAUUUGCAGUUGCAAGGUUGAGAAAUGAACCUGGUGCUACUGUUUUUACGUUGAGUAAAAAUAACAGAGAUGCCAUGAAAGAGCAGAUCUAUUCCCAUCUGACAGACUUGCUGCCUAAGCUGUAGAUGUCUUGACAUUACGGUACUCAUACUGCCAGUACACACUUAAAAUUUUGAAGAUAUUUUCUUUAGCUGCUCCUUUUAUUUUGGAAUUAUUUCUUUGUGUGGAGUAUGACGGAAGCAUUCCCUUAGCUGAUAAAGCAAUUUUAUGCCUUAAAUUACACCAUCUGCAUUAAAUGCAUAAACCAUAUUGUGUGCUGGGUACUCUUCCAAUGUGCUUCCUGCCUCGAGGGUCUUUUGUUUGAGAUAGCCGUGUAUGUGGUUGCUGAAAAUGCAUAAGCCAACUGUUGUCCUGGAAAAAGUUUUAUAAAAUUUUUCAGAUGUGUUUUCUGUAGUAAUUAAUUGAGGUUGAUUCAGUUUUUAUUGCCUUGCAUACUAUCUUGUUCUUAGAAAAGCUUUAUGUAAGAUCGAACUGGUAUCUAUUUUUGUAAAGUAUUGGAAAAAUGGAAGUAUCAGCAACUGCCAAGUUUUCGUAGAAGUAUGCGGAUGCUUUUCUUUGUACUUCUACUCCGUGGUAGUAGUUUGACUCGGAGAGCAACUUUCUGGUGUGUUGGUGGAGAUUGGAAUUAAUAGUUCAAGUAUCCUUCUCUCUUUUCGAGGGAGUGUAACUAGUUUCUGCUGUUGUUUUUCUUGCUGUUUUACUAUUACAGCUAAGAAACCUUUUAGAACAGUUUGCAUUCAAUUGAAAGGGCAAUUACAGAAGUGAAACACUUGAGCUUGGGUAUAGGAAAGCCUUUGUCAGUUUGAAUCAGAAAUGGGAGAGGUGAGAAAGCGUUCCUUUUAGCUUUUUGUUCAUUUGGCACUUGAUUUCAAAUUUGACUUGCCUUUUCUAUAAUUUAUUUUGGCAUCUUUGUGUCACUCACUUGGGCCUAAAAUCGCCUUUUCUCUUUAAGCAUAAUUGUCAUCAUACCGUCACCAAAACUAUAGCUUUUUGGCGUUCUAGCUGUAAUUUGGCAUUGGAGCCGAACAAAGUUUGAUUGCUUUAAGAGGUACCCCGCCAUUCGAGAAACUACAUCAGUACAGCAUGUCUUUUGACAUAUAUGCCUGGCAUGUCGUUAUAUGAUGAUUGACUGAUUAAGGAACCCAUUGGAGCCCAUUAAUUUCAUUUUCAAUACCACAACCACAAUAGGUGCCCAUGGGCUUGAAAUGAUUUGAGUUCAUAUGAAAGCUGAGAGAUGUUAAAAAACAAUUCUAAAGAAGGGAAGUAAUGAAAGUUUGAGGAUUUAGCGUAUUUUGGCUGGUAUAGUUCUUCAGGGUAGACCAAAUGGUCCAAAUAAAGUUCAGUUUACGUGACAAAACAGUGAACCUUUAGAAAGUAAAAAAGAAAAAUAUAGGGUCUGUUUGGUUGGAAGUAAAAUAUUUUCCUUGGGAAAAUAUUUUCCGUGGAAGUAAUUUUCCAUGAAAAUCAUUUCCCUUUCAUCAUUUUCAGAUAUUUGGUUAGGUUAUUGAAAAUAUUUUCUUACUUCAUUUUUCUAGUGUUUGUUUAACUUUUGAAAUAUUUUUACUUUUAUCUCUAUCUUUACUUUCUACACAUUAUAACUACAUACUUCUUCCCAUGCAAAAUAAAAAAAUUUAUCUCAUUGUUUAACUUUAAAAAAUUUUGGAGAAAUGUAUAUAUGAAUAAAAAAAUAUCUCCUUAAGCAAUAAACAAAUUGCUAACCAUUUAGUGUCAAAUAUCAAUCACAUGCAAUGCUUAUUGUAACAUAUAUCUUGCACUCUCACUGUUGAAAGUUUCUCUAGAAAAGAAUGUUUCUAUUAUACAUAAUUAAUUUCUAGCAUAGGAUGAGCAUGAUAAGGUUUUUUUUUUAUUUUGAAUAUACUAAAGGGAGGGUUGGGUUGGGUGGUACGGGGAAGGGAGUGUAAGGAAGAAGUUUUGGGUUCGAAUCCUCCUAUUUACACUAAAAAAAAAAAAAAAAAACAUACUACAAGAUGUUUUCAGUAAGUUUAGAACAUACUACAGGCGGGAUGCAUGCAUUUCGGAAAACAACUUCAGUAAGUUUGGAAGGGAAAUUGUUUUCCAUAAGAUGUGUGAAAAUAUUUUACAUAGGAAAAUGUUUUCAGUAACUUUUGUGCAACCAAACAUGGGAAAUUAGGAAAAUAUUUUCCUGGAAAACAUUUUCACCCGAAACAAACGGACCCAUAAUCCUCAUUAAUUUACAGGAAAAAGAUAUUCAUUUCUGUAGAAAAAAAUGCAUAUAAAUACACGACAGUUUGAAACAUAUUGACCCAAAAAUCUACCUAGGUAAACCAUUUCAACAAAUACAAGCAGCGCAUUCCUUGGCCAGGGUUUUUAACAAAUUAGAAUGGCUGUACAAGCAAAAGAACUAGUGAUAAACAAAUGGAAGGUUGGAAAAUAGAAAAAAUAAUCCAACACUUCGGUAAAAUAUAUUUACCAAACGAUUAGAAAGGAUCAACUUCGUUUGUCAUUUUCAGUAAAUCGCAAAACUUCUUUGGCCAUUGAAGAAAACGAUCUAGCGGUGUCCUGCAUCUCGGAAGAUUUCAAACUUAUCCCCUGCAUGAUAAAACAAAUUUGUCUUAGUUUCUGGUUAAAUCCUAGAUGCUUGCGUUAAACAGGUUUCAGGUUGUUGGGAUUAACGGUGACCUGUUUUGGCACCAAACCAUUCUAUUGAAACUAAGCUUGUAAAAUCUUCAUUUGUCAACAGUUCUCCAUAAUCUAAAUCAUCUAAAAAUUGUUUGGUAUAAGGGAAGAUGAUCCUUUAAAGGUUCUCUUGGCAGAAAGGUAUAGUCAGGAAUGUCUCAUCUGAGACUGUUUUAGGAAUUCCGCAAGAGAAGAUUUAGUGAUAUAAGUAAUGCUACCAAUUUCGAUAUAUUGAUGUUUAAGGAAAUAUAAUGACUUGAAUUUAUGAGAAGAGUCCAUUACCAAAGAAUUUGAGUAAUUUGCAAAAGCUCGAGAAUUAUUUACUAUAAUGUGCUUUUAGUGCAACAUUUAUAAUGAAAAGACUAGAUAUCUUUACGAGUGAAAUGUUUUUCUCUCGAGAUUUUCUAUUUUAAGCAACUUAAGGCGUCUGUCUAUGUAAGAACUAACUUGGAUUACUAAACAAUAGUCUUUUUGCUUUUUCGUAGGAAUCGGUUAACGAUGAAAGUAAACAAUAGUCUUUUUGCUUUUUCAUAGGAAUCGGUUAACGAUGAAAGACUCGCAGGCUAUCUCAGCCUUCAUUUGAUCCUCUCUCUACAAUCUAGUAAAGGCCUGUGUCAAUAUUGAAAGGAGGGACAGUUAGACAAUACCUGCAACUUCUUCAAAUUCUCAGUCAGCUUUGUUUUAGCAACAGUUGCAACACAUGGUUCCUGCACAGAAAGAAGGAAAGAGAACGUUUUAGGUUUUGAUGCACCUUUUUUGGUGCUUCGAAAAUAGCUAUAUGCAGCUUGUUGUCCCAAGGCAAGAAAAUUUCUUCUACUUUCUUCAAUCAUUUUCACCUUGGUGAAAAUCAAAUUUCAGCUUAUACAAAAAUCUGUGAUUUAUUAGCAGUUGAAGGCCCCAUGAUUCUAGUAUUCUUCAAUGUCAUUAUUAUCCAAAAUCUAAGUAUCUGACAAUGACAAGUUUAUCAAGCAUCAUUAUUUAGUAGCAUAUUUUAACUAUGGAUACUUACACCAGUGGAUGUGUAUCCAUACUUUUUCUUUAUCUGGUCAACAGAACCACCCUUCUCGUCUUGCAUCACUUCAUUUGUUGACUUUUUAUCGGUCUUUACCUUCAUAUGUUUAAAUCUGCCUGCAAAUUGAAGAAAAUGAACGCCAUUGUCUUACUAGAAAUAUAUACAAAAGUUAACACUCAUCUGCGACAACAAUAGAAUGGCAAACUGGACAGAUUAAAAACGGAAUUCACUCAGAAGUGAUGUGAGACGUACUUUAACCUUGUAGGCUACAAUCUCGGAAUAACAGUCCUUACAAUCCUAGAUGACUAUAGUCGUGACAUAAUGCAUGAAACUAAGAAAAAAGCAACAAGUAAAGAAAGAGGUUCAUCCUGAAAUCACAGGCAGACUAACCUUUAAAUGUCUGAAACGUAUCUGCCAAAUUCUGUUUGUUUAGAGCUGCCAUUACUCCAUAUCCUUUCUGCUUCUCACCAGGAUCUUCAAUGUCAAUGUCAUCUUUUCAAGCGCAAAACAUGUCAUUAUGGUUGGUUGUGUUAAUGACUCAGUGUAACAAAACAUGCACACAACCAAGAGGAAACUAGAUGUUCAUAAAGGACAAAAUUGUGAAUAAGGCACAGCCGAAAUAAACUCAAAAGCACCAGUGUCGAACUAAUGUAUUCAACAGCUGCUGGUGUUGGUACAAAUUAGCUUUUUCCUUGAGAAGAGGCAUAUUAAUAAAAUAGUUUAAAGGAAGUACCUAUGUCCAGAUCAGUGUCAUCUUUGCCCGCACUCUUUUCUUCACUAUCUACUUCUUCUGGAAAGUUAGCAACUGAGAAGAUAGUAGACAAUGCUUCAAUACUUUCUUUUGCAUCUUCAACUUCCACAUCUGUCUCGCUCUUUGCUUUAGUCCCCUUAAUAUCUUUAAUAACAGAUCCGAAUAAACCCUGUUGCUCCAAGUUAGACAGACAGUGGUUCAGUUUCUACACUUAAAGAGUCUUGGGCAGUUCAGGUAGUUUCAAAAUGUGUACCUUCCUCUUUUCUUUAUGAAUGAUGUGUGAGGACUCUUGUGCAACCAUUAGGUGAUGGGAAUGGACUUGGGAAGCAUCAUCCAGAAACCUAGAUAGCAGAUGAGAUCAUCACAAAGGAAAAUCAGCACAGAAUCAGCCUAGGUGAUUUCCCCACAUUUCAUACAUGGGAGAUCAGAAAGUACUUCCUACUACUUCCAUACGGAAUCAUUCCCAUAUUCUAACAAUGUGGAGGUUAGAUUAAAGUGAACAGAAUAGGCAUUAGUAAUCAUUCCCGGAGUCAGUAAUGCCUCUUACCUGUAGAUAUCCUUUUGGAGCGAUACUGAGAUAAAAAAUGCUUCCUGAUCACCUUCCACCUGCAAAGUUGUGGUGUUAUAAUCUUGAAUGAGGUAUAGAAUAUCAAACAAGUGAAGCAGCUUAGAGAUAUUAGUAUACCAAAAUCAUGUCACCGUUGACUGAGAAGCACACUGAAGUGUUAGAAAUUGAGUUCUGCUUUGGAAUUGAAGGUCUGAGGCCUCUCACAGAAGUUUCCUUUAGAAGAGAUAAUUCUGGCAAGGAUCUGAAUUUAAGUAGAUAAGUAUUUCGUGAUCCAGACAUGUCAAUCAGAACUUGGGAAACAUUACAACUUCAUAUAUGCAAUUUAGUAGAAACUACUCUUUUCCUUCUCAUACAUGUACAACUAUUUCCAAAAGUAACAAUUAGAGCAACAAAAUAACUUAUCCUAGCAGCAAAAUUGAUACAUCCUCUCUCAAUCAACUGCACGUAUUCAAUAUUGCAGGUAAAGUUCACAGCCAUAACUGACUGUGGAAGAAGGAUGGUAUUCAUGUACACAACUAAUGUAACUAGAGUAAUUGAUGGAGCAGAAUUAGAAAGAAGAAACACCUGAUCUCGAUCUUUCCACUCGAAAAUAGAAGAAUCAACCCUGAACCAGGACUUUCAAGAAUUGAUGCCCAGCAACAAGAAGAGGAAUGGAACUUCUUCUUAUUGUGCACCUUCUUAAUACCCUAAACAAACAAAAACAACAUCUGCCAAAGAUCAGAGGAAAGCAGCUCAAGUACUUUCUCCAUGCGUUACAUGUACCUAAUGAUGACAUGUUUUCUAACCUGUAGAAUGUGAACCAAGGAGUAGACAUAAACAGCUUUCUCAGAGCAAACCACCACUACUUGUUGCUUUGAUUGUGGACUGUCAGAAUUCCCCUUGAUAGUUUCUGUCCUUUCUGAUGUGUUAGGACACCUACUAGAUACCUCCAGUCCAUCUGUAAAGAUUUUACAGGGAAGGAAAGAGAUAAAACUUGACUGAUUUUAAAUGCGGCCAUGAGCUGAGCAACAUCUCAAGGAAAACAGGAACAAAAGAAAGAAAAAACUUAAUAACAAAUUACCCAAAAUCUGCAUGUACAAAGCUCUAGAAGGUUUCUUAGGACGUAUCAUGUUAGUGUUGAGAGUAUUUCCUGAUUCAGUGUCGAGUGCUACCACAGAAGAAUCCUUAGUUGCAGCAACCAAAACAUUCUUUUCAAAACCAUGCAAGCUGCAAGUUACAGAUUGCAAAGAGAUUAUUCCUGUACUGAGUUCACUUGCAAAAUGUCUCUCAUACAACAAAGUCGGUCCCUCAAGAUUAAUCAGGCAAACCUGUAUAAGACGUUAAAACCAAAAAAAAAAGAAGAAAAGUUAGCAUCUUCAUUUAUAUAGUUAAAAAAUAAUGACAGAAAUAUAUGUGAAUUAAUCAAAAUCUUUCCUAAUCAUUAUGCAUUAAACGAGUAAAAGUAUACAGUACAUUCUUCCUGAUAGUGGCCUUCGUCUAAAGGGUGGUCACUGUUACUAGCACACCCAAGUCCAGUGCACCAUUCAUAUUCUAAGUCAGAAAGUCUCAAACUUAUCCCCGUUAUCAUCCAUCAACCAACUCCUCCUCACACAUUUACCAUACAAAAUAAGUAAACCAUACUCUUUAACCAUUCAUAAAUUCUGAGGAACUAUAGACAACAAUGUAAAUAUUCAAAAUUAGAUGCCAAUAAUCUGAAUCUAGGAGAGGAAAGCAUACAUAUCCUUGAUCUGUCCCAACUGCAAGAUAUUUAGCAUUCUGGAUUGAGUUUAUGAAAAGUACAGCUCCAUUAACCUGCAGAAGUUUAAUACUCUGGAUGACGCUACCCUUCUUCGAAACUCCUGGCAAUGAGCACAUGCAAAAUCGUUAGAAGAUAUGUGUGAUUUUUGAAAGCUCAAGUACAGUUGGAGUGAGCAUGAAUGAAUAUGAAUUUGACUAAAUAUACAGCUGAUGGAUCAAAUAAACUCAUGGGCCUAGCAAAGAAACAAAAACAGUUAGGUAGAAUUUGCCAUUUCUGUUGAAAUUUUUUCCGGCAUGCAAUUUACAAAUUAGAAUCUUUAACAAGCAACUUAGAUUUGAUGACAUGAUGGCUCCUACGCCAUUAUGAAGGAAGCUGCUUUGUGGUAAAUGUUUGGGACGUGUAGACUGAUGUUUUCUUCUACCGCGGUAUGUUAGAAUGGUUUCUCUAGUUCAAACCUACAAUGUAUGACAUGACAAAAGAUUCAGUGAAAAAUAUUCCCAGCAACAUCUCAAAAUACCUUGCAGGGACAAGAAACUGGUUUCUGGGGCAAAGAGCUCAGGUUUAAAUUUAUACAUCCGUAUCUGCAUAAAGUGCAUGAUGAAAGCUUAGAAUCAACAUGAAAACAAAAGUGGAUAUCUUUCUUGUGUCAAUUUCAUGAACAAAAAGACUUUACCAGUCCACCUUGAUCGCCAGAAACAAAGAUCUGCAAAUCACUAGUGCAAUACAGUGCUGUCAGUGGUACACCACUUAGAGAAGUAUCUUCCUCACUCUGCAUAUGAUCAGUCGCUAUGGAAUUAAGAAAAGCUAGAGGAGAUGAAAUACAUUAUAAUGUUGAAAGAAGAAAAAAGUAAAGCAGUCUGAUGUUCUCAGCAGUUACAUCUCAAGCCCAUCUGUAGAUGUUAAACGUGAUGAUUCAUUGAAGUUUAGUAGAAAAACUUCUCGUAUGAUUGAAAUUUGGAGGGCACACCCUUCAGUAAGGCAUAUAAAAUAAAGAGAUACAAACUCUUUGUGAUGACAGGAAUUGUCAAAUAGCACUUCAUAGUUGAGGGAACAAGUGAGGAAUGUCGGAGUUUUGGCUUCUCCUGCUAACUAAGGGGUUAUUUCUCAAACUGAUCCAUUAAUUUACUGCUUCCCCAGAAGAGGAAAGGAAAACAAGAGGGGCACUUGACUAUCUUCUUGAAGGAAUCUAAACUGAAAGCAGAAGUAUCACAUCCUGUAUGAAAUUACCUGCUGAGUUACUGAUAGAAUUGGACGCAUGAGUGGGCAAGAAACAUCCCAUAUUCUUAUGGCUCCAUCGUCAUGUCCAGUUAUAUAUAAGUUCUUCGCCUUUGAAAGCCCCCUAGGUUGUGUUGAGUUUGAGCUCGUUCCAUCUUUUUGUGUUGUCUCAAAUGGAAAAAGUGGUAAGAUGUCUUUUGCUAGUGAAUUAUAGUCCUAAACAUUUUCAAAGAAGUCAAAUUGUUGAAAAUUAAGCAAGGAGGAGAAAAAGAAGUAACAUAACUCAGUCACUACCUGAUCCUUCAAGUAUAGGAGAUGUGGGUUAUCUUGCACGAAUCUUGCAACUGUGAUACUUGGAUCAGCAAAUGGCAAUUUCACCUUUAUCUCCUUUGGAAGUGAUGGGGAGGACUUGGAUUGGCACUGUAAUAGGUACCUUUCAAUGAGGUAAUCGUCAUAGGUGUAUAUAUGACCUGACUUUCCAAGCAAAAGGAGAGAAUCGUUCUUUUGCUUGCAUUGUGGAUUAAAGCUCGAUACUAUCUCCAGAUCAAUAGGAGAUUCGUGGGUAUGGAGCCCCAAUUUGAUUGUACGGGAUUCAAUAGUAUCAUUGAGUAGAACUACCUGCAGAUUAGCACCAAGUUAGUACAAAAAUUAAAUAAAAUCAACUAACAGGAGAGCUAACAUAAUCAUCAAAUGAGUCCACAAUUAGAGAAUCCUUCAGAACAAAAGUUGUGGCUUCAACAUGGUUCACUGACUCUCAUAGUUAACUCUGGGAUAACAAGAUGCCUUACUAUUAUAUUGACAAACACCCUCCACAACAGGUGUGGAGAAUUUUAUGCUUUUAAUCAACAGAAAUAUUGAAAUUAGUACGACUUGUCAUUGACUGGUGUUGUCCCAUAUUGACAACUGAGAGUGCAGUAGAUUAAGUUGAAAGCUAAAUAGUCUGAUGAACUGAAAAUGUUUUUGCAUGACUUCCCUGCUGUCACAAUCGAAGUCACAUUUUUGUUUACUGGAAAUGACAUGAGCACUUAAGAAGAAAUCCUAUAUUCAAGACCACGCAAUGGCAGCAUCCCCGUGCUUUAAAUUUGCUAUUAAUGAAAACUUAAGUAUACACCUUUAUGAGUAAGACAAAGACUCUUAUAAUAACUUGUGAAAUCACAAUUUUCAGAAAGGACAUUGGAUACCCAAAAAAAAAAAAGGAAAAAAAAUCAAAGAAAAGGAAAUGUUACUUGUAGCAAGUUUGCUGAAGGAUAGUCAGAGCUUCCUAUGACAUAUAAUCGACUUGCUUUUCCAUCUGCAUAAUCCCACCUUAACUUUGCAAUAGGUAUUUUGUCCAGUUUGUAUCCAAGAUUUAGUUUAAUAACUGGACCAUUUUGAGCAUAAGGGUCCUUCUCUUUUGUUUGUUCAACUUUAGAGUGCAAAGGAGCUGGAAUACUCCACAUGAAAAUCUCUCCAUUGCUGUAUCCCACAACUACUUUGCUUCCAAAUGGGCAAGCCCAAGUUGCUGCAGUCACUUUCUUUGUUUCAUGGGAUGUUGCUUGCAAUGUUGUCCCACCAGCAGUGAAAAUGGCUUUGCUAUCUUGGAUGUCCCAUAAUGUCAUAAAACCAUCAGUAUAAAUAAUAAGAACCCUGCAUCAAAAUCAAAUUGUUGGGGAAAAAGGCCCACAGAGAAGUUGACAAAAUAAUGAGAGUCCAAGAGAAAAGUAAAUCAGUUUGUCUAUUUCCAUAUCAAAUUCUACUUCUUACAGCUGCUCGUGUUUCUGGCAAAAUAGCCUUACCUGAUAUACAAUUUAGAAAGGAAUUAUACAAAUGGAUGCAGAUAACGAUAAUUGCGGAAAGAGCAUUCACAAUGAAGGACGAUGUUAACUCUCUUUGUUAUUUCUAUUCUGAAUUUUAUGAUUUGAUGCUGCCUUAUGCAUGUAAGUCAUUACUUUGCUACGGCAUUUGAACGAACAAAAUGGUACCUCUUACUUUCCGCUGUAGGUUGAGGCAGUAUAUGAAUGACGGCAAUAUCAGCAGGAACUUGACCUGAAUUCCCUGUAGGAAGGUUAGUCAUCAGGAUUUGUGCAUAAUAGAUGCUGUUGCAUCUUCUCUCACUACAAGGUAUUGUUAAUUCCUCUACGUAGCCGAAUAAAUUAAUUGUUGAUUACUUUGUUUUCCCACUCUCAGGUAGUCUUUUUCCUCCAUUGCUCAAUCUCAAAUAUUCAUAACCACAAAACCAAAAAAAAAAAAAAAUUGACUAUAACACUCCGCAAAAAUCUGAGAAAGUAGGCAAAAAAGUACGUAGUACUAUAUCAAAGAAACUGUUAUUCUCUCACCGUGGGAUGCUGAGAGUGGUAUAUGGUACUUCAUCUGCUCUAUAAUAGUUGGCUCUUGAUUAACCUUGAAAACGGAAACAUUACCAGCAGAAUCUCCAAAAUACCUGCCAUAUACAUUUAUAAUCUUUAGAUCAACUAAAGUCUUAAGUUAUUGAUAAGGUAUGCUAUUAACUACUGAGUUGCAUCGAACGUUGUAUAACUUACAUGUAUGGAGCAUGAAGCAUGGAUGUACAAGAGGUGAUUUCCUUUUUGAAGUCAUGAACAUAAGACAAGCACCUCUUUUCUAGAUCCCAGACCUACAUAUUGCUUAAACUAGUAAAGAUUCAAGUUACUAUCAACAAAGGAAAUACUCAAAUACAGGAAAAGAGACAACCCACAAGCAGAACUAGAGUUUCUCCUGACUUGAUAAUCUCUUAAAGCUUUACCAGACAAAAGCAAAACAACUUGUAAAGGAUCUCAAAAUUGGUCAACUUGCCUCAAUGUGAUUAUUGGAAUUUAUGUUUACAAGGAUUUGUUGGUUCUCGAUGAACUGCACGACAAGAACUAUAGGUCAAAAUAAGUUGCAACACUUCCCAAUCCACGUGAAAGAAUCGGUUCAUGUAAAUUAUCACAUGAAGUACAACACAUCAAAAUAAGUUGCAACACUUUCCAAACCAGGGGAAAGGAUCGGUUCAUGUAAAUUAUCACAUGAAGUAGAACACAUGCUGGAGGGCCAAUAGAUAUACAUACUCAUGGUUCUAAUAGCAACGUCAAUAACCAAUAUCUCUCACCACAGACGGAAAAAAUUAUGAAAGCUGAAAAGCACGCUAUAGGUGGACUACCUGCAGAAAUUUGCUUGGCAACACUUCAGGAGAUUCCAACAAGGUCUGGCUGCCAUUUUUCCCAAAUAAUUUAAUCUGACCAUCCCUGCAAAUAUUACGACAAUUGAUUUAAUUAGUAACAGACUCAGACGUGACAAGUCAAGCAUCACUAUAAUGGGUUAAUGGUGCAAUUUGGGAUCUUCUAGCCUAAUGCUGGACAUCAAAUGUCAAGUACAAGAAAAGAUGAACUCUUCAGAAUAACGAGGUUUACUAGGAAAAAAUCAUGCGGAAAUCUGCAAAUCCAUUGUCCCACAUAAACUUACGAUAGCACUAAAUCAAAUGCAUUUGUGUAUUUUCACACUCAAAAUGUUUAAAAAGUAAAGACAUUUGUAGAUUUAAAGUCAGUAAAUGAAUGACACUUUCGAGAAACACAAGUGAACCAUGACGGUGAAAUUCUGUCAAGUAGAAAGAACGGAAGCUAAAUUUCCAUGAGUGGUCUAAAUGAUUUAUUCAUCUCAUCAUUGUAACAGAGACUCACCUAACUGAAAUAGCUAAAAUCUUUUUAGGAUUAUUGUAAGCAAACAAAUUAGCUCCUGAUGGGAUGCCAUAAUGGAAAAUCAAGCGGGGAUCUACAUCUUCAGGUUUCAAACCAUCUGUCCCUCCAGGCUGCAACAAGCAUAACAAAGAUCAAAACACGAUAACUGGUAUAUUUCCUACCUUAGAAGUCGCUACUAGGCAAAAGUGAACAGGGCAUCUAUACUGAACAUUCAUAACUGUCAGAUGAUAGAGAAUUUCAUGGAUCUCUAACUUUUCAUUCUUCACCAAAUAAUAAAAAAAAUUACUACUUGGUACCACAAUAGCGUAUAUUAUGACAAUUUCUUUCUCAAAAUUCACAUGCAAUCACAACGAGACUAUAAAGAGAAAGGAAAAACCUAAAAUUCAAAAUGCAAAAGCAUCCAUUAUUACUUUUAUUAUCAAUCCUUUGCUCUACUUUAGCACUACCAGAAUAGUGACUAAUUGUUCCAUUAUGUUAUUCAAGAAAUAUGCAUCUACAGAAUUUGUCAAGAAUAGUUUUUGAGUACUUGAACAUCAUGACCAAAAAAUGGAUCAUUGAGUAUACAAAAUAGAAAAUGGUAAAAUUUAAAUUCAUUUGGAUUAAUUGUUUUUGGGAGUGUUUUUAAAAAAAUUUACUGUAGCAAAGUUUUUAAAGUAUAUUUUGAAAUAUUUUUAGAAUAUAUUUUGAGAUAUUUAAGAGUAGUAGAAUUUUUAGAAUAUAUUUUGGAAUAUUUUUUAAACAUAAAAAAAAUUAACUACUUUUUAGAAUACCUUUUAGAGUACUUUUUAAAAAUUUUUAUAGUAUUUGAAAAACUAAUUUUUGAAAACUGAUGAAUCCAAACAGAUCUGUACUUUUAGGUUCCUACUUUAUACGUCAUCAUUCAAUUUGAAAUUGCAUAGUUUGCAUUGUCAUACGAAAAAGCAUCCUCAAAUCAAAUGCUAGAUUAAUUCCCAAGUUAAUUUGCUUGAUUGCUAGAAUUGCAAUUCAAUAUCAUGCAGAUGAGAAAGUUAUAUAUGUAAUCAUGCUCCUAUUGAUUUGCUAAAGGCUUAAUACCUGGUGCACCUAAGUGGGGGGCAGCUAUCCUUUUCUAUUUCGAGUGAUUACCAACAGCAAUAAUAUUCCAUACAUGUCACCAAUAAUUGGACAUCACUUAGUAUUCUUAAUGAAUAUGUUGCCACGGUAUUUGCCUUUCUUCUACAUACGGCUCAAGUGAUUAAACUUCAUACUAAAUGGAUUAGUAUUUACUAAUCCAAUAAUUCCUAAGGAAACUGUUGGAUUAGUGCAUCUGGGUCUUGACUCUUGCGUAUGGGCUUAACAGCACAAGGGGACUACGGGAGACCCGAAUUGGUGAUUGUGGGGCCUCUUAAACAUAACGGUGGUCUUAGGAUACAAUUUGCACGUUGGUGGCUUUAAUUUCUUCCACCGCCCAUCACAUGCUCACGGAACCGAAGGAAGAUUUCUCUAUAAAAUUUAUUAUUCUCAGCUUAGUGCAGCUGUCUUUUUUUUUUGGUGUAAUAGUGCAGCUGUCAUGUGUACUUGAUCCCAAAAAAAAAAUCAUUUAUUCUCACCAAAAGCAUUGGGUUAAUAAGGAAAAGAAGUCGAAAGAAAGCGUAGUAAUAUGGAAAAGAAAAUCAUUUAUUCUCACCAAAAGCAUUGGGUUAGCAAAGGAAAAGAAGACGAAAGCAAGUAGACGCCAAAGAGAGAAAAACAGUUACGACGAUCUCUUUAUGAAGACCCAUAUAGUAAUCUGGAAUAUUUUAUACCUUGACCACGAAAAUUCUUUUUUUUUUUUGUUUUUUCUUAACCUUAUCCCAGUUGGCCAACUUAUGGUUUCGACUAUUCCAAGUUGUUUUACUUACAAUUGCCCGCAUUCCCUUCUAAGUGGGCAAGUGCAUGCUUAAAUUCUAACUCCUAUUGCUGAUUUUUGGCUACGAGAAAGAAACAAUUUGACGGUGAAAUCACUUUUAACAUAAAAUGCAGGGAUAAAUUAACGCAUAAAAGAAAACAACUCUUCCCCUAUAGCAUCACUCUUUAUCACUCAUAAUCACCGGCACCCCCAUGCUUUUGCCGCUUCACUCCAUCUACCGGCCCCUCGCCAGUCCCCACAUAUGCAGAAGUUGUCAACACGAGAUGUCAAUAACGGCCAAAUACAGCUUUGACCCAAUAUUUACCUCCAAUAAUUGAUCACAUCCGGCAUAAAAAAAAAAAACACAAUAUUAAAUAUGCUUGUUCAUUUCCUCCUCGUUCUUUCGGUCAAGGGGAAACAAACAAGGACGAAUGCCUUAAAAAACUUUAAGACGGUACCAAGGUAAGCCAAGUAAGUUAAACACGUGGAAUUGUUGAGGUCAUUUAUUCCAAUGGUUAAGGUAGGACUUUAAAGGUGCUUUCUACUGUCAAAUUCAGGAUUAAAAUUUUGAUUAAAAUGUGGAAAGGAGAGGGGGAGGGUGAAAAAAAAAAGUCAAAAACAUUGGGGCCGGAUGUCUUUGGAUAAUUAUCCUAGUCCAGUAGCUUCAAAAGUAACACGUAGCAGAGAUUAAGAUGUAAACGACUUUUAACUUCCCAAUCGUCUUUACACGGUCAAAAAAUAAUACAGCGAAUUGAUUGCGACCAAAAAGUGAGCAAAUUAGUUGAAAAAAAGAAGAAGGCACCAAAAAUUAAACAAUGUAAAUUCUAUAUCUUGCCUUAGUGUCGCAUAUCAAAACAAAAGGUAGUGAUGACAUUUCAUUUAGUAAACUUUACAGUCAGCUCCGGGCACACAAACCUUUAUCUUAACCGAAAUGGAUAAUACACGUCUUUACGUGACUACAUACUUUUAACUCUAACUGCCCAAAUUUCUAAAUUAAAAAAAAAAAUGCACUAACACAACUAAAUUCCCAAUUCUCAGGUUGUUUUCGUGGUGUGCUUUUUCACGCCCAUCAUUAUCCUAGACACCUAAGUGUUCGUUAAUCACAUUGAAAGUUGCAGUUCAAUUUAUGUAUUUUAAUGAGAUAGUUAAUAUCUUGUCACCUUCAUAGGAUGCGCACAUCACUGUCAUGUGAUCAAAGCCUUGAAUAAAUCGUACCCCAAAAAAAAAAAAUCUAUACUAAUUUAAACCUAUUUAAUCCCGAAUCGGUAACUUCAAUAUGAAGAUGAUUCUUUUCCACAAACACACUAUGAUAGGUCCAGCCAAAAAGCUACCGAGUAUGAACAAGAUCAAGAGCGGAUUCUCAGUCUAUAUACAAUUCGUGAUCUGGCAUGUCCAGAAGAGCUCAAUUUCAGGCAUAUUGAAACCAUUUUAUAGUAACUACUUCACACUUUUUUUGUACCGCUACGGUUCAAACAAGCUAAUGUAUUGGGACCUUCUAAAUAAACAAUUCAUUACAAAAUUCAGAAUUAUCGAAGAGUGAUCACACCGUAGCUUUUAUUGGUUUCAGUAUUCAACAAAUAUAAUGAUAAUUAAAAUUAAACAAACAAAUCAACAGAGAAGCAGGAAUUCGAACUCAAGCAUACGAUUCCGAGCUCCUCGAGAACAGAGCAUUCUGAUGGAAAACUACUCCAGCGAGUAACAAAAAUAAAAAACAACAUAGGCACUUCAAACUAUGAGACGACGUCAUUUUCCAGUUUGCAGAGACGAAACUUUCAAAUGACUGUACUAGCAGUUGCAGAAUGCUGAUUAAAGUUCAAAAAUUAGCAUUCAAAUUCGCCUAAAAUAGCUCCAGCAAAAUAUCCUUUUAUUAUUAAAAUUUUUUGCAGUUUCUACAAAUGAAAAAUGUCAAAUCGUCCAAACAUCAGAUAAUUUGCAUAUAAAUUAGGAAAUGAAGCAAAAACUUACCUUCUUCACGAAAGAAGCCUUCUCCACAAACUUCUUCACAAACAUGUCUACAGAUAAAAAUAUCUCUCUGGAUGAAACGGAAAUAUUAACGAUGAAGAUAAGCUUGAUGAAUUUACGAAGUUAGGAAAAUGAAGCCUCUGCUUUUUUUUUGUCUCUCUUAACUUGGAGAAUGGAAAGAAACCGCCGAGGAAAUGAAAGUUUGAGAAAAGGAGACCGGAGAGUGAGGGCGAGAGACGAUUUAAUACAGUUUCAGGUUUGGUUUUUUGUUUCUUUUAUUUAACUAGACAAGUGGACAGCCUAAUUGAUCAACGAUGGUUUUGGAUUGGGACACGUGGCUGAUGAUUAAGUUUGUCCGAUACUUGCGAGAGAGAAUCAGAGAAAGAGAGAGGCACAUAGAUUUGGACGGUGCGAUUUCAUGUUUCUUUGCUUACCAACCGCUGUUGGAAACGACAAAACUUGGAAGAAGGUAAGCUAAGGCAGCGUUUGUUUGAAGGGAAAAGUGUGGGAAAGUGAAGGAUAGUCUUGCUCAUAGAUUACCUUUUUCCUCAAAAAUUUUUACCCAUUUUGUGAAUUACUUUUUUUAUCUUAUGUACAUCAAAUCAAUAUAAUACAUUUUUAAUAAAAAUUUAAAAAAAUAAUCCAAAUGGGCUUAAUUUUUAUAUUUUUCUUUAUAUGUUUUGGUUGGUACGAAUGUUGAAUUUUUAAAAAAUUUUUUUUUUUGGCAUUUUCCUACUUUCCUCUAUUUUGUGCCUUACAAAAUUAGUAGGAUUUUAAAGGAAAAUAGUUGGUUACUCACAAAAAUUUCAAUAACUACUACUAAAUUUUGAAAAACUUUCCUUUCCUUGUUCAAAUUGGAUUAACCUCCCCAUAAUGAUUAAUAUUUAAAGACGCUGAGAUGUUGGAAAACUCCCAGUGAUUUGAUAAAGUUUAGAGGAAGAUGACUCGUUCUAUUCCAAAACCUUCACGCUGAGAUGUUGGGCGCGGCUUAAGGUGGUUUUAUAAAAUUUUCGGCCAGCGGCCCUUCAACUAGCAAAAGAACACGAGCAUUGCCCCUACCACAAUGGCCAAGUCUUCACAAACUAGAUUUAUAUUUUUUCAUUCUGCGUAUUACUAACAAGACGCUGGUUUAGAGGUUAGGCAGGAAAAAUUGAUUAACUAAACUUCCCCUGUUGAAGAUUGUUCCAUACUCCUUCACAAAAAAGGGAAAAAAAAAAAAAGAUUGUUCCAUACUUUUCUUAAGUAUUCUUUUAUUAAUGGCGCAAUCAUCCAUAUCCAUAUCAUAUCAUAUCAUAUAUCCUAUCCUCCCUCUUCCAAAAUUACUGCUUUCAUGGGCAAAUGAGAAUCUUGCUUUCACCUGUUGAAGCUUUAUCUUUUAUUUUAAGAACCUUGCUUUCACCUAUUUAAAAAGUCAUGUUGUUUCCCUAGCUUCUUUCCAUAUGGUACUCAUGUUUGACAUAAAAAUAUUAACUCACUUGUACCUUGUCUAUUUGCUCUUUUCAUCUUAUUUCCUUUUAUUUUGACAAUCGCUUAUAGAAAGUCUAGCAUUUUUCACAAUUUUUAAUCACCUUUUUGGUAAUCAAUCGAUAGAAAUGAUCGCUUGUUAUUCAUACAAUUUCAAAUGAAUCCAGAUCUUAACAAGGCCGAUCCUAAAAAUCCAAAUAACAAGAAACCAUGCUGAAAAAUGUUGGGGUACGGACAGAAGAAGCCAAGAAAAUCAUGGUUGUACAUUCUAAAGGUCUAAAUCUACGUAACAUGGCAAAAAUGACAACGGGUUCAAUCAUCCGUAUUUUGGCACCGAUAGAUAUGUGGCAGGCAACCAAUGGUCGUUUGGACGGUUUAUCACUACAAAAAAUUUUAAAUCAUGAUAAGAUGGAAGAUUAAGGAUUCAAAUUUUAUUUCCUAUUAAUGUGUUACUAUACAUAGUUUCUUCUAGAUCUAUAACGAUGCAUAGUUUAUUUGUAUGAUUCAUCGGCUCCUCUAAGUUCUAUUGGAUCUCUGUCUUUUCCUCUCAACGUAAGUUAGAGUGGGAGAAGGAAUAAGUUAAACUAUGCUGUUGUUGACAUCUGAUUAUAUAUAAAAAAAAAAAAAGAAGAAGAUACGUGGCAGGCAGCUGUGGGCUGGCUUUACCAAACGUUUGGCGAGUCCCUGGAGAGUGGACCACCCAGUCAAAAUGAUUUCUGCAGCUGGAUAGAGCCACGGGUUAUUCUUCAAUGAUUCUAAAUUGUACAAAUUAGAGAGCAGCACGUGGACUCUAUUACUACCAGCUUUCUCUCUCUUCUUUCGAAGGAAAAAUCGUCACAAGUACGUUAAGCUCGUUUUUUUUUUAAUUUUAUUUUAUAACUUCGGCCUUGAGUUCUGAGGAAGAUUUCAACUUGCUAGUGAGGAGAGGUUAUGCUGGUGUCUUCCUUAUGGGCCUCAAAAAAUGCUUGGGCUUCGUUUACGGAAGCAGCGAAGUGUUGCCUUGAGUAUGCCGGACUGGCAAGCGUGGAGAAACGUCCCGGAGGUUGGGCUCGGAGAAACUUAAAUUUAGUUCACGGACAGAUGUAGCAUGUGGCCCAACAAGGGAAACCAUUUCUCUAUGUCUUGGUUAAAGCUUUGAUUUAGUCACCAGUAAUCAAACUACCGACUACGGAUUCAAGUUCAUAGGCUACCGGUUGCAAGAGAUCAAGAUGAAAUUCGGAGACCAACAGUUCUCACAUUCAAGUUCAAUUUUGUCACAGGGAAUUAUAUAUCUCCACCUGUAUGCUCAAAAAUGUUGCUCACUAUUUCUUAUUGAGAAAAAAAAAAAAAAAAGAGAUCAGAGUAUUGGGUCUAUUGGAAGUCAUUGUAGUAUUUGACCUGUGAGGCAAACAAUUUAGGCUUCAACUUCACAAUAUUGAAGUGGAAAUAGAUCCUCCUGAAUCAGUGAGAAAUAAAUUGGGAACUCCUCGUCUGACACGGACAGAAUCUUGAUUAGCUUUUUAGCAUUAAGGAGAUCUUCUGAUGAGAAGCACAAGUCUGUGAGUUUGCAUGUGAUUCAUAAACUUGACCAGUCAGAAGUAGCUUUACCGCUCUCAUCAUAUCCCAACCGAACUUAAUCAUUAAGAGACUGGAGUAGCUCGUGAAUUUUUCAGCCCAGCUUUGUUUGGAUUGCAUUUUUCUGAAUUUUUUAUAGAAAAAUUACUGUAGCGAUUUGAUAUAUGUGAGGUAAAGAAGUGUUUGAAAAAUGUGUUUACGGAAAACGUAAUAAUUUUUUUAAAAAAAUCUGCAAUUUAAACGCAAAAUUAUAUAUGUGUGCAUGUCUGCACGCACGCAUAUAUAUAUAUAUAUAUAUAUAUAUAUAUAUAUAUAUGUAUAUAUAAAUGAAAAAUAGCAAUUGAUUUGGGCUUUUUUUUUUAAAUCAUGGUUACUUUUCCUUAUGAAACCGAAGUCAAUUUUCUUUCUCUUUUAAAAGAAUUCUUUUGGGUUAUUAGGAAUUUUAUUGAGUCAUGUUUUCUCCCUUAAACUACAAAUUCUAUUCAUCAAAGAAGAAAAGGGAUAAAAACCCCUACCACAAUUUGUAUCCAAAAGAAAGAUGGGAAACGAUCUUUUUGGUCCCUUAUGUUUGGGGUAUUAGUCAAUUUGAUCCCUUAUCUUACUAAUUUAAUCCCUUAAUUAAGCCCGUGUAGAAAACAUUUAACGAAAAAUUGGAAAAGUUCAAAUGAAAAUAAAAUUUGAUUUUCUUUCUCUUGUACAACAACUCUUUUAGGGUAUUCCAUGCAUUAGAACCUUUUUUGAUUCAUUUUUCCCCCCCUUAAAACUAUAAAUUCUACUUUCAAGAAAGGGAUACAAGCAAAACUAUAACUUGUAUCUAAAAGAAAGAUGAACAAAAAUGUAUUUAUGAGCCUAUUACCAUUAGUGUUGAUAAUGAUAUUCAUGCAAGGUACGUAGCUUAGUAUCGAUUUAUUUGGUCCCCAUUUGAUGGUCCAUUGACACGACCCCGUAUUAAUGGGAUUUCACUCACUAAGCUGUAAGCUCUCACUCAAAUCUCAUGCUUCCAGAUUUCCAGUUUCAUGCACAUGACGCACGCAUUCUCCAUCAUUUGAUGGGCUUUUGCUUUUACAACUUCAAAGCCCCACCAUACAUAGCCAUCAUCUUCAUGAGUUGUAAGGGCAUAGCCUUUGCCUUUCACCAAGCCUCUACCUAGACGCAUAUGUGCUAAGGUAGCAUAAAAGGGCAUAAGAAUAAUGGCAACCCUUUAAUUUAAGGUUGAUUGGGUCCUCGAUUGAGUCUAUACAUGCAUGUGUGAUCUGUCUGCUUGUUCCUCACUUUUACUCCGCCAAACUUUCCCCUCACUUUCUGUGUAUAAUACAUGCAUCUUGGAAAGAGAAAGUUGGCAGCUCCAUGUUAGAGUCCGGCUCCUAAUAAAUAAUAAUAAUAUUAUUGCUAAUAAUUAACUCAUUAGUAGUAGUUUUUUUUUUUUUUUUUUUUUUUUUGAGGAUAUGAAGGCAAGCACUGAGUGAACAGACGCAAAUGCUUCCAUUUCCUAUCACGGACCUCACAAAAAUUUUUGUGUCCAGUUCAAAUUGGCUCUUAUAAUUUUUUUUUUUGGUGUAAAUUUGUAUAAUUUGAGUGCAAAUUUAAAAUUGUCUACAAGCUAACCGAGUAGUUAAUUAUUUGUUCUUCAAGAAAGGAAUUGCCAUUAUACUAUCCUAUGCGGCUGCUUAAUUAUGUAAAGUACUUAAACUUUAGACUAUUAAUAUGUGAAAUUUGAGUUAAAAGUUUAAGAUUUGCACCUUGAGAUUUUAGAUUAUAUAUGAAAUAUUGACUUAUAGAAUUUGGGUUGAAAUCUCCCUUCUCCCUCUUCGCUGUUUAAAUCCCACAUUUCUCUUGCUAGAAUAUAUAUAUAUAUAAAAAGAGAACAUUCCACUUUUUAUUGUUGAUACUUAAUUUUUUUUUACUGUAAGUGAGAGGUCUUGAAUUCGAAAACUCUCACUUACACUUUCUUCCUACAUACCACUCAAUCCAUCUCUACCCCUUUGUUGAUACUUAACUUCCUUCAUAUGUAUUCUUUAUAUGUUUCAAUAAAACUUGAAAAGAGCUUCUAAUAAUUACAGUGAAAACUCCAAAUCUUACAAAUUUUGGGUUCAUAUCCUCUUUUCUCUUUCCCCUUUCUUGCUUCUUAAAUCCUACCAUUUUUUUUGCUAAAAUAUAUUUAAAGGAAAAAAAGGCGCCUGCACGGUAACCCUUAUCACAUUUUUAUGGGUGCCAUGUUAAGUGGAAACCAGUCCAUAGGAUUAAAUGGAAGGGAGAUAUUUGCUCGGGAGAUAUUUGCUCUACUCAAUUCAACCCCUUUUUUCCAUUAACCAAUAUUUUAGUGCACGAAAACCAACUACUACCAUUAACCAAUAUUUCUCUUUUUCCACACAACUUCAACCUCAUAUGACAAUACAUUAUUCAAACUUUGAUCACCAUCUCCUACAAACGAAAAUGGAGGAUCCCAUCCCUUGUUCUGACACCUUGAAUGCUACUAACAAGAAAGGAAUUUCACAAAAAUGUCUUAAUUAUAGGAAAGCUCUUGAAAAGUAAUUAGAAGUCAUGAUCACUCAAUAAAGCGAAACUGCAAGUUAAAAGUUCCGGCUAGACUAAUUAAUACAACCAAUAAUUAUACAAUAUCAAAUGUGAAGUUAAGAGCAUUAUGAGCUGCAACUUUUAAGUAACAUAAGCGAAAUCACAUUUAUUGCUGAUCGUGUGGGUUUGCCUCAAGAGUUGCCGGCUUUUGAGGUUAAAUUUCGGAUUAGGUUUAAUUAAAUAAUUUCUUACUUCUGUAAGAAAAGAAAAAAGGAAAAAACUUUGCAGGGGGUUUCUGAGGUUUGUGGGGGGUCUUUAUCCCUUGGUAGCAGCAGCCUUACAGGCUUCCCUACUCUGUCUAUCCCACAUCGUUCUUGAGGGGGUUAAGGGUUGGAUAGUUAAGUUCUCAGAUUUACCUCAAGAGGUACCGGUUUUUGAGGUUAAAUCUGGAAUUAGGUUUAAUUAAACAAUUUCUUACUUCUGUAAGAAAAGGAAAAAGGAAAAAACUUUGCAGGGGGGUUUCUGAGGUUUGUGGGAGGUCUUUAUCCCUUGGUAGCAGCAACCUUACAGGCUUCCCUACUCUGUCUAUCCCACAUCGUUCUUAGGGGAUUAAGGGUUGGAUAGUUAAAUCCCCAAAUUUGCCUCAAGAGUUGCCGGCUUUUGAGGUUAAAUCUGGGAUUAGGUUUAAUUAAACAAUUUCUUACUUCUAUAAGAAAAGGAAUAAGUGUGGGCUUAUGUAGACAAAUUAGGAUGUCUCUCGUCCCGUUGUCCUUGUGUCAAUCUCGUGCCUGUUUGACAUUUGAAUUAUAUACGCUGGUUUCUUAUUAGUCACCGACUCACCGUAGAAUGGCAGAAAUAUCAAAUAGAAGAACUCUAGCUAGGUGUGCCUCUCGAAUUCCCACUUUCGACUAAAAAGAAAAGUAAAUUUAUUUUUAAGUGUCCACAACAUUUCUAGGGAUAAUGAAAAAGUACUCUGUCGAUGUUUAUAUUGUUUAUCAUUCACUCGUCUAAUGCAAUUAUUAAAAACAUUUGUUUAAACUUAGUUUGAUUUUUAGCAUAAUAGAAAUUGCUACUCUAAAAUAUUAUCAUCACUCUCUUGCAAAUUUUAUGAUCCAGAUUAUGUUAGAGGGAUGGAAUUUAAGAAGUAACAAGAGAGAAAGAUAUUUGAACUCGUAGUUUAUUUUUUUCAAGUUUGAACCUUAAUUAUUAGAUCAAAAUCGAUUCUACGGGAAAAAUUCUAGUUGGUCCUUGAUAAGAAAAUAUACAAGUUUGUAGAAAGUCAAUUAGGUCUGUGUUUUUUUUAUUAGUUACUUGUUUAUUUGUUGCAUUUUCUAUAGGAAAACAAAGACGUGAAGCCAAGAGCAACUUAAGACGUUUUAAUAUGGCGCCAAAUGGGGGCCGUCGUACGUAAAAGUAACUGUUUCGGACGUCUGAGCUGCUUAUUCUUUUUUAUCUCAGUGUUAAAAUCAUUCCCUUGCAAGCAACAACUUAGUCGGAUGACAGCAAAAUUGUCAAUUCAGGCAGGUCAAUGACAGCGACAGGCUAACGUACUCCGUUAAUUGACGGCAUCAGCCAGAUUAUCACCAUCCGGGGCCAGGGGAUGUGGGAGAGAAAAUCAGGUGUUUUUCACACACACCACAGGUCUACAACUGCGCUUGAACUUCUACCAAUUGGGAGCAAAUCAUGGCUGACGAUUUGGGAGCAAAUUUUUGUAGAGCUUUGACUUUUCUUUUAUCAUCAGCAGUCUAACAAAUCCCAUUUGCACUUAUCCACUAAUCUGAUAAUUUAUGAAUUGUUUUUCCAUUUUCUAAUUUGAUCAACAAAAUAUUGUUAAUUUUAUGACUUGAUACUCAAUAUUUUAGUUUAAAAUCAAUUGCGGUCAAUUCCCCCCUUACAUUUUCUUACUAAAGUAAAAAUUUCGACAAAUGAACCUGAAGCCCCGAAAUUACCUUCAAAACCCCUGCAUACAAAUGUGCACCCCAUUUCAAAUGGGGUUACUUUAUAGAUCCAAUGCACUUUGCUUAUAGUCGUCUACUUUUUGAGUCCUCCCACUGCAGCUUAAUAAAAAUUUUUUUCUCUUUUUUUUGUUGACAAUUUAAUGAUAAAGUCCAUGAUUCAGUAUUAAUAAAACUCCGUUCAAAAGUGGAGUCUAAAAUACAAGCAUGUUUGUUUAUUUUUAAAACAACAAAAAAAGCAAAGGAUCACAACUUGAAAUUAAUUCAAAUUUCGAUGAUUUGUCAAAGGCAGUUAUAAUUAGCCUUGUGAUCUCAACUAUUUCCUCAGCUUCACAAAGUAUCUCAGAUGCGAACCAACAAGAAUUUAACAUUAAUUUUUUAUACACUGAUAGUAUAUAUAUAUUUUUAUCAUUAGAUGCAUGACACAUAAUCUGAAUUUGAAUUUGAAAUCCAAAUUUUGCAUAUGUAUCGUGCAUUCAACCGUAAUAAUGUAUACAUUAUCAGUUUAUAUAAUAAUUAUUCUAAAAUUUACCCCACCAACCUUUUAGAAACAUAUAUGAUAUCAAGUUCAAUUAAAACUAUAUGUUGAAUUAGGAUCAUCUUUUCUGUUCGUUGUCUUUCUCCUAUCUCUUUAUGACCCAUAUUUACAAUGGAAGAGGAUGUUGACAUAAGAGCUGAGUGACCAGGCUGUGGACAAGCCAAGAGCACCCCUUCCUAGUCCGCUUAGUCGGUUGAGUAAACAAACUCGGAUUCUAGCAUAUCUUCGGUUGAAAUAUUUACUAAAAUUCCUAUUCCAUAAUUGACUUUUAACAAUUUAGUCCAUUUGGAUCGACGAUUAUGUGGAAAAUUAUUUUUUGAGAUAAUAUCGUUACGCUUCUUGAGAUAUGAUACAUGUGAAAAUAAAAAAAAGUUCAAAAAUAAAAAGUAAUUGAAAAAAAAAACAUAUUUAGGAUGCAAUAAAAAUUUUUUGGAAAAAAUUUCAAUCCAAACACUAAAUACAUGAAAACCUGGUAGAUGCCAUCGCAAGUCAAAAGAGGCCGAAGACAACAUAACCAAGCUGUCAAACUGAAGCCUGCAAUUUUUUCAACGCCCUUAUGGUGGUCCAUGUACGUACCUGAUCUCUAUCCUAACAACUUAAAAGAAAAAAAAGGAAAUACAAAAAACAAAACGGGCCAGAAAAAGAGAGAGAAGACCUUUUUGAUCGCGUGCAGGCGACCGAGUGAUUAUUCCAGCAAUGGACUCUCAUGCUAAAAGGCAAACUUUUUUCACUCAAUGGUUGUUAUUGUUAUUAUACUUAUCAGUAUUUGUAUUAUUUGUUUUUCUUUCACUCACUCUCCUUUUCUCUUUCUUCUCAUUCCACAGUACAUACUUUUCAUGCAUUUCUCCUCUGUCAAAUACAGAACUUUCUCUCUUCUCUUUCUUUGCUUCUCUAUCCAAAUUCAAAGUCUUAACUAAUCUUACAACUGUUAUGGCUGAAAUUUGACUCCUUUUACAAGAAUCCCUGAAAGUUUUGAUUCUGCCCGAGCAUUAAGCUUCUGCUGAUUUAUUAAGUAAGUCCCAGAUUGUGCUUAAUCAUCAUUGUACCAUCCCAGAUUCUAAAAAGAUUAAAUUUUGCUGUUGAUGGUAUGAAUUCGAGUGUCUUAUAGGAGUUUUCGUCUGGGCUUAUCUUUGAAUUUGUUAUGAGCCUGCUGCUUUCGUGUUUCUUGAUUGUUGUUAAAAGUUUAUUUUCACUUUUGUGGGAUUUGUGUGAUGGGUUGGUAUUCAUGUUUUUUUCUUUUGUUGGAAGUUGAAAAAUUGAUCAUUCCACUGAAGUUAGGAAUGAUGCUUCUAUAAGUAAAAUUUUGCGUGGUCGUUGUGCUUGGAUUUCUGUUUCUAGUGUACUAGUUUUAGAGUUGUUCAUUUCUAUAAUGGCAUGAACUUUUUGUAGUCGGUAAAUCAUGCGCACUACAGCAUUUGCUGGAUCAGUCAAAUUUUCUACUUUUACCUGCAAUAACGUCACUUUAUUAGCUUGGAAACGUAUAAGAUAUAGGAAAAAGAAUAGGAAUUUGGAUCACUACAUGCUGUUGGGAAUUCUCAGAUUUUCACCCAUGAUACAAUUAAUUGCAAUUUUCAGGUUGAUAGAUUAUUUCGUUGUGUUGCAUAGUUCAUGUAUUUAACUAAUUAUUAUUCAUCAAGUGUUUAACUUUUAUACUUGAUUCCGUGAACCACAUGCCAAAAUCUGAAGAGGAACUUUAACCUGAACUUGGAAGUUGCUUCUGAGGAUAAAAGUAAAGAAAAUACUGUGCGACUAUUUGUAAUACAAAAUGUCAUUUAUACUUGGCGCUUUUCAACUUUGUUAUAUUAAAAUGGAAAACGAAAUCGCCUAGCUUCUAAAGAAAAAUGAUAUAUCAGGCAAAAUGAUUUUGUUUUCCAAUGUUAAUCUACUCAAUCUCAUUGAUUUGCAGGUUUUUUUAAACCAAUUUUGAGGGGUGCUUUCUGUUUGAUGACAUCUGGUAGCUUUUCGUUUUAUGCAAUGAUACUGAGAUGCCUUCCUAGGAAAAUUGGAGUUUCUGGGCUGUCCCACAGCCUGAAUGGGAAGUUUAUUCGACGUCAUUGACUAUAAUCAAGGCAACAUGGCUAAGAAAGUUGUUACACAAAAAAGACAGGUUGAUGGUGAGUAUAUUGUACGAAGUAUAGAUGGCAGAUGGUGUGCUAGAACUAGCUAUAAUUCUAUAGCUUAUGUUGGCUCCACUUAAUUGAAUUUGUAUUGUUUCAACUGAAAAUUACUGUCUCUUUUUGGCUUUUUUUCAACUCACUAAGGUGAUUGGUUUUGGACUCCUUGGGUUUACUGCUGUGCUGUAAGCUCUUGCUUUACCACGUUUGGUUCAAGGCCGUGCAUUCUCUUGUUUAAGAAUUUGCUAAUUCAGUUGGAUGCCUUAGAAAAAUCAAGUGGCCACUUCUAAUUGAUUUGAAAGUAAACACAUUUUACAUAUUGUUUCCUCACGAGAUUUAUAUUGCUUUUGUAAACUCGUCCGCAGGUUUAGAGGCACCUCGAAACAGCUUGGAGCUGCCAGUAGAAACUUCCCAGAGCUUUCAUGGUGAAGACAAUAGAAUGGUACAACUUAAUCACACUUAUUGCAUUUAAAGAUUUCUCUAUUCCCAUUUUCUUGUUAAUCGUUUCCCGCUAAAGAACUUUCAGGUACAAAGAUGUUGUAGUCAAUUGAUAUGAGCAGUGUAAAGCAGAAAAUGUACAGGUCAAGUUGGAACAUUAAGGUCUGGAGUAAUCAUAAGAAUAGUGUUUAGGAGAGGCAGAAGAGGUGAUUAAGGGUGCUGUCAAUAUUCAACUUUCUCUGUUAGAUCCUUCUUAACCUUAGCAUGUAACUAAAAGAUGUACCUGUAUCUCCACAAUACAUGUGGAUGGAUUGUAUCUUACCAUGUUCUGCAAAUCUGAAUCCACUAUUCUUAGUGUAUCUCAAAUUAUGAGAGACUUAUGGCUUUUAGACUUUUUGAUAUGCUUGUCAUCUCCAAAAUUUUGGACUUUCCACUCUUUUUGGGGUAGGUACCUGGAGUUUUCGCUUAUAUAGUGUUGUUGGUGGUCUUUCUUAUAACAUGGAAACAAGCUAAUUAAUUGUCUUUUCUGAAGAGCUAGGGUAAGAGGGAUGGAAUGAGAGUUGGCAGAUAUUUGUCACAUUUCUUUUGGCUUUUCAGUUUAGAGUUAGCAUAUAUUUAUCGGAUUGACUUUUAUUUUCUUGCUUUUUUUUUCACUUUAAUCGUUUUGUCCAUAUUUUACUGUCUAUCAGAAGGAAUACCAAUAUUUACUGGUAAGGCUUAUUUUUUUACAGAUCCACUUAGCUUUUAUUGCUUCAUGAUAUUAGUUGCAUCUUUGCAACCAGAUUUAUGUCAAGUUUCAGAUUUGCACUUCUAAAACAUCCUUCAAGCUUAAAAGGGCAUAUAUAUAAUGUUAAUCUGGAAUCUGGUGUAUCACAAUUUAUGUUGUGCAAUUUCACUCAAGGUUUCGUAUUUGUUUCAGUUUGAAUAUGAUGUGCCAUACAACUGGCCUGAGAACCAUUUUUCAACUGAGGCUCCAAUGAAAAAGCUGAUCAGUGAAGAAAUAUACAGAAAACAGAACACCAAAUAUAAUGCACCGAGUGUAAUAGCCCGUUUAAUGGGAGUAGAUAUGUUACCAUCAGAAACAAAACCAGUUGCACAGACAGUUGAGAAAAAGAAUGAACUGCAUGCACAAAACUUCUGUCAAGAGAACCUUUUGAAGAAUGCCUCAAUUGGUCAUGUUCCUUAUACAUCAAAGUCUUCCAGACACAAGAAGUUCAAUUCUUUUGACAGUAUUGAAGGAAUGAAUCCCGAUCGAUGGAAUGACAAUGCAAUUUUGGAUAAACCCAGACCUCGUGAACAUCCUCAAGAGGAGGAACUACAGAAGUUUAAAAAAGAAUUUGAAGCAUGGCAAUUGGCAAGGAUGAAGGAAUGUUCUAAGGUCAUCGAACUUGAUUGUACUCCAAGCCAGUGGAUUGCUCAGGAGAACCUCAAUAAGGAAAAGAUGGUUCUUUAUGCAAAUUCAGUUAGAAAGAUGGAAAGUGAAAAGCCCAUUGAACUGAAUGAGGGUAGAAUGGCAGCAACUGAAAGAGAUUAUUUACAUAACAAAAAAAUGAAGUCUUUUACAGGUGGGCAACUGGAGUCAGUUAAUGCAAGGAAAAGAACACCUAGUGUGGAUUUUAAGCUGCCUCCUCUAGUGAAUUCUGGUGAGGAAUUUGAUGCUGCCUCUGGACCCUCACAAAUUGUGAUUCUGAGGCCUUGUCCUGAUACAAUGGGCAAUUGUGAACAGUCUUGGGCAAGUUCUCCAUGUAUUUCAGAAGAGCGGGGUAGUAUAGAAGAUUUUCUUGAGGAGGUCAAGGAAAGGCUGAAAUCUGAGCUGCAAGGUAGAAAUUCUAAAAGAAGCACUAGUGUCAGAGGAGGGGGAAUCGAAACACCAUAUAGCGAAAAGCCAUCAGAUCCUAAACAGAUAGCUCAACGCAUAGCAAAACAGGUCAGAGAAAGUGCUACUAGGGACCUUGGAAUGAACUUAUUUCGCUCAGAAUCUACAAGGUCUUAUAGAAGUGAAAUUCAGUUCAAUGGAAUGGGUUCUCCUGAGUUCAUUAGCAGAGACACAAGAAGAUUCUUGGCAGAAAGGUUGAGAAAUGUUCUGAAGGAAGAAAUUCAACAAGGUGUACCUGUUGUUGCUCAAGGAAGCACAAGAUCAUCAAUGUUGAGUAAUGGAAGGAGAAGAACAGAAGAAUCAAGAAAAGUCUUGAGUGGAAAAAAUAAAUUGAGGUAUUGGGAUGGCAAGAAAGAUGAAUCAGAUUUUCAAAGCAGAUCUUUCAGACGGGAGCCCAAUGACAAUACAGAGAUCCAUGAGGAAUUAUCUCCAAGGAACCUCAUUAGAUCUUUGUCUGCCCCAGUAUCGGGAACAUCAUUUGGGAAGCUGCUCCUUGAGGACCGGCAUAUGGUGACUGGGGCUCAGAUCAGAAGAAAGCAUGAAGCAUUCGAAAAGGUGACAUUGAACGUGAAAAGGAGAAAAAAGGAAAAGUUCAAUCUCCGAGAAAAAGUUACUAGUCUCAAAUACAGUUUUACACUUAAAGGUAGGCUCUUUGGUAGAAAGAUCCAAUCCUUAGAGGAUCAACAGGAUAAUAAACCGGAUUGUGUGAAAGAUUUCUUGAGGCGGCCAAGCAUCAUGAUGAGCUUUUAUGAUAGACAUGUAAGGAUCUUUCUGAUUCUUCUUUCAAUUUUUCCUUCCAAAUGAAAAAUGUUUCCAAUAAAAAGGUUUCUUGUGAACAAACCCAUUGAGGGUGAGUUGUGACUUAACAUUAAUAGUGUCUUAUGAAUCUAGGAAAAUCCUACCGAGGUGCCUCCAAGUCCUGCAUCUGUGUGCAGCAGUGUUCAUGAAGAGUACUGGAGGCCAGCAGAGUAUUUUAGCUCAACAUCAGUAUCAGAUGUAGCAUCGGUAGAGGAUGGCAUGAUGCCAAACGUUUUUAGAGAGAUCAGAUCGAACUUAAAAGGUAAGUGAAGACAAUUGAAGAGACAAUUGCUUCAAUUGUCUUCAACGAUCUCUAAAUGCUAUUAGGACAUUACUAUUAGUUUCUAGAUCAAGUAGUUGCAUUUGCUUGGUCUCUUGAAGCAAACUGACUCUCUGUAGUGAAAGAUACAGCACUUGGAUAGUUUUCUUGUAUAUUACUUGUGAUUUGCAAAGUAUGCCUGAAAUACAAGGUUGCAUGGAGUUUAAAACAAUAUUUAACAGCACAAUUCUUUUCAGAUGCUAACAGUAUUUUGGUUCAUUGAUAACACAGAGCUAAGGAGGCAAUUGAAUGAACUCGAAACUGAUGGUUCCAAGGAUGCCAUCAAUGAUGAGCAGCCAACGGAAACUGAUAUCAUUGAGAUUGAAGACCCAGUGGAAGCAUAUAUUAGAGAUUUGCUUCUCUUUUCCGGUUUGUAUGAUGGUUCAUGUGAUAAAGCGUUAGCAAAAUGGGACCUACUGGGAAGGCCUAUCACCAAUCAGGUAUUUGAAGAAGUGGAAGAAUCUCACAAACAUAGGAAUAAGGAUGAUGAAGGGUCCAUUAAGGAUCAAGGUGAGAAGUCAAAUCAUAAAAUACUGUAUGAUUUGUUGAAUGAAGCACUUCCAAAUGUACUUGGACCACCUGUGUCAAUGUCUAAAUUCAUGAGAAAGGCCAGUCAUCCUGCCGUGCGGCCAUUACGUGGAAGGAAGUUAUUGAAUCAAGUGUGGCAAAUUAUCAGUGGUUAUGUACAUCCCCCACCAGACAAAUCUUUUUAUUCUCUUGAUAUGAUGGUUGCACGAGAUCUGCAGUCCUCUCCAUGGUCUAGAUUAAUGGAUGAUGAUGUCAAUGCUCUAGGAAAGGAUACGGAAUCUCAGAUUUUUGGAGAUCUAGUUGAUGAAAUGGUCAAGGAUUUACAGUCCAAUUUUAUGGAAGAAAAAUCCUGUGCAUGUGGAGCCUUGUGAAUUCUUCUUACCAAAGCAAUGCAGCUGCUCUAAAACUGAGACUUGACUACUUGAGUAACAUGCCAAUGUCUUGGUAUGCCUAAUUGAGCUGACAAAAAUGAAUUCUUUCACUACCCGGAAGCACUUAAUAUAGAUAUAGUUGAAUGUUUACGGUAGUAUUAUUUGUGGAUGCCUUUUGUUGUUUGUAUAGGACUUAGGUCUGUCUGGGGUUGUGGUGUAAAUUGGUUGGUGUAUAGGUAUAUAUUUUUUGGUCACUCAGUGUUAUUUAUUCGUUUGAAUGAGUUCAUCAAUUGUCAAAUACAAAGUUUGGUUGUUUUAGAAGCCAAUACAGCAACAGCUUAGCCCAGCAAAUGAAUCAAUUGGCAAGAAUUCAAAGAAGUCCAUCCUGAGAGUACGCGUUCAUUUCUGUAAAUGUUGCUGAUCUUUGGGACAAAAUCUAUCAAACACACAUGCAAACCAAGAAAAUAGAAAGCCUAAUGAUUUCCUAGCCCGGGAAGUCUUUGUCAUAAAGUGGUCGAGGCAGAAAACUUAAUCCCACUCAAAAACACUUUUCCGACAAAAGGGAACACUAAAAUCUCAUGCAUGCUGAAAAAAAUUUUGUAAGAAAAGGUAACACGGAAAAAGCAAUUCACCAUGACUACAAAAAGUCUUAAGGUGGAUGUCCUGAUAGGAUCUCCACUACUUCCAAGAUAUACAAGAAAAUUCAGGGUUAUUUAGUACAUUAGUUGUGACUUGGGGUUGGGGAUCCAAUAUUAAGCUCCCAUGCGAACAUCAAAGAAUUUCAUGUUCUUCCCAUAUUAGAUGGGCAAACAGCUUUUGCUUACGAGCUUGUUUGGUAAACCAAUUUAUCCUGUUUGGGCAGUGUUGAAGAAGAGCAAUAACUUUGGCCUUGUUUGGCAGCUGUUACAAGUUUUUUAAUAACUUUAGUUACAAUAAACUUCUUGAAGUUUUUUUAAACUAUACACUUCAAAAAUUCAAAAAAUUUUUCUAUAAUUUCUACAGUAAGUUACAGUAAAAUUUUAGACAAACACCCAAAAAAUCCACUUGUCAAACGGGUUUGUUGCAAAGCGCGUACGCUGUACAGUAAUAAACUACUCCACAUUUUUUCCAAUCACAUUUGCAGCUUUGAACCUUGUUGCUUGAUCCUGUAAAUCCUAGAAUCUCAUCAUAUUUCCAGUUCCUUUUGGACAUGACUUGCAUCAGGGAUAUUUUGAAUAUGGUUAAAGUAUCUGUCAUCAGCAACAAAUUUCAGAAAAUCCUUUGUUUUUUUUGGAGGUUAAGAUUAGUAAGUAACAUUGCUAAAAUUCUUUUAAGAAUCUAUUCGUGUUAGCGAUAACAACCACUACUACUAAAAUUGAGCAUAAAAGAUAGUACGAAAUUGUGGCAUAUUUUGACUUCAAUUCCGGCAAGUAACUCUUUAACAUAUUAGGAAUCCAAUGUAUCGCAUGCAUGGUUCACCACUAUCCCAAACUGAUGGCGAAAAAGCAUGCACCUGAUUACUCUCAUAAUGCACCUGAUUAGACACUAAUUAAUAAUUAUGUCCUACUUUUUGGCUGCAAAUAUUUUUUUUUUUGGUUGGAGAAAUGCAUGCAUUGUAAUAGGUCUCAUUUCCCCAUUAGCAUUCCUAUUAGCAUUCUCUAAAUCGAAUCACCAAAUCUUUUCAACCGUAAGCCUAUAUAAUUAUCGGAAAUCACUCAAGUUUAUUUGGUUUGGCGAAAAUAUUAAGAGUUCAUAAACUUCGAACAUUUAAACAAAGCAAUCGACCGUUCAAUGCAUAAUGAUGCAGGUUUUUAGAGAGACGGAUAUUAAAAAAGAAAAACAAAAUUUGCAGUCAACAUCCUUCACAAAGUCGUGUACAACAACCUAUUAAUUGAUGCACUCGGUGUUUUUGUUCUUAACUACAAUUUGGUAAAACUAAGCUUUCGUGUCUUUAUUACUCCUUCUAAUUAAUUUGUAGGAACUACAAAUGUAAACAAUUUAGUGGAGGAAUGGGUUAUGUCGCACGGAAAGCAGAAGUGUAAAUAAGAGAUCAUUGGUUCGAGACCUCCCAAUUAUACUAUAAAAAAAAAAGAAUAAAAAAGAGUAAAGAAUUAACACUUUAGUGACAGGACAGGAAUAUUUCGGUGGGCAUUUGUCUGGCCAUCUGCUGCGCCGCCGCUGCGGCUGCGGUGCACAUGCCAUGUCGGUGAGUCUCCGGUUGUCCGCUGCGGACAAAGACGUGUGUGCGGAACUCAACCUGGUAUGGCAUUAAUCCAAAUUGUCACCAACCAACCCCAUAAAAAAUUUUUAAAAAAAAAAAAAAAUUUUUGGAAGGAGAAGGAGAAAGGAAACGAGGAAUUGUCACGAGACAAGAUUGGGGUGAUGUACGUAUGAUUUAGGAAUUCUAGGUGAAAGGUUGGAUCUAUCUACAGUUUGGGUCAUUCUUAAUGAUUUUUUCUUCGGAAAAUUUGGCAUCAUACUCCAAAGUCCAUGGAUUUCGUUACACUUUGAAGAUGCCGAAUUUACCAGGUAAGAUGCAUGUGAGGAUGCACGUUAGUGUCAAAUGAAAGGAAGUUUCGCGUUAAACUUAAUCAUGAUGAUUUAUUCCCAUGAAUGUUUUGUACCAAAAAGUCUCUGCUUCUCACGCAAACCUCACUCCUAUUUAUGGAUUUUGAUCUUCUAAAAUAUUAAGCAAACACGCAAUAUAAUAAAUGUAUGGACUCAAUAGCCAUAUUAUAUUGGAAGGCAAGUACAAUUAACCCAGCAACUCAAAUGUAAGACAUGCAUGUGUUUGGUUUUUCUUUUUCUUUUCCCCCUAAAAUUUUGAAAGCUUUUAAAAAUCUCCUUUACAUAUUAAACUUUUUUCACCCUCCAUAAAGAUCUUACGUCAACUUCUAUUUUGGCGCUAAAGUUGUGCAUGUGCGUAAAGAUUAUCCUCUCAGAGUAGCCUUCCUUGUUCUCUGUGAAUAUAUUUUCCAAUCACCUUUUAACCUCAUGUAUAUCAAAUUACUAUAAUAAUUUUUUUUUUACAAAAAAUUUAGAAAAAUGACCUUAAAUUCAGAAAAAUGCAAUCCAAACAUGACCUUAAAUUUUAUGGUUUGAUCCCUGCAUAGAGCAACCGGCCAUGAACUACUACUAAAUUUUCAUUUUUCAAGUCAUAAUUAAUUUCCCGGUGUGCACGACUAGCUCGCUUUCUCAAUUCUAUCGUAAUUAAAGAUACAUGAAUCCAACAAUUUAAGCAAGAAAAUGAAAGAAUAUCUCACAUAAAACUCAUCAACCGAGUUCUUCACAUUGCAAUUUUCUGGAGUUUUUGCAAAAAAAUAUACUGUAUCGAUUUAAUAUAUAUAUGAUAAAAAGAUGAUUUUUUGAAAAUAUGUUCACGACAAAUAUAAAGAUUUUUUUGAUGAAAAAUCUCUUUCUAAACAAAGUCCUUCCCAGAAUUACGGUCACAUCAAGCGACCAUAAAAAUUCAAGGUUGAUGGAAGAUCAGCGUUGAACUAACUUCGUUGUAGUACAGUAUAGCAGGCAAGUUGAACGUUGAUGGCUGCUUCCAUUGCAGCCCCGAAUCCACACCAGUGUUGACUGGAUUGAAUUCGUGAGAAAGGGAAGAAAAAUGAAAAAUAGUGGGGACAAACGGAGAAUUAUAAACGUAGAAGUAGCCUGCCUCUUAAUUUUUCGCCAUAACGGGCGAUAGAUGCGCUCCUGCUUUUUGAUACUGUGAUGGCAACGCUGUGGUCGUCAAAAACACUCGUCAACACAGCCCAACACUGAAUGAAUGAGUACUCCCGGUCUCCUACUCCAAUCCGACCAAACAUUUCAUUUUCUUCAUUCUUCUAGCUAGAAGGUUUUCUAAGGGCUAUUUUUGUUUUAGGAUAAUAAGAACGCCACACACGCUAUAAUUUUAAGAGUUAGAAAUAAUUUUCAACGAUUAAUUCGUUCUUCUCAAAUCUAUACCUAUCUUCUUUUUUUGGGAUAAUUUCAGAAACCUCCCCUGAGGUUUCCAUUAAUUACAAAUAGCUCCCCUCAAAUAUUCAAAAUUACACUUACUACCCUUACUUUUACUAUUUAGGUAACCAUGUAGCCCCAAUAACCUAGAUUCUUUUUCAGUAAUCCUAAACUACCCUUCUACUAAAAUUGUGAAAAUAAAAAGGAAAAUAAUUUAGUCAUCACCUUCCACCUAUACACUUUUGCAACUAAUCAAGCAUUCCCAACUCAAUCCCUCCCUACAAAUAUGAUAGAGUCUCAAAUUCACUCCAACUCAGUCCCCAAAAUUUGGGCAGUUACAAAAUCCCCAACCUCUACUCAAAUGCUUUCAAUGCAAAUCAAUUAUAACAAUCACCUCAAAUAUCCAAAUGUUUCUACAAUUCAUCUAUUUCAUUCCUUGCUCAAAAUUAACCAAUCUCAAAUUCCAAACUGUGAUUUCAUUGGCUGUCAUCUUGCCAAACAUAAAACAAUAUCCUAGCCUACGACCACCAAUACCAAAGAGCAAUGCUUUUACAUAGCAAAGCAUGUAGUUUAGUAAUAUUCCAUCAACAUCUAGGGAUCUAUACCAACUUUGAUAUCCAUAGCAAACUACUAUCAACUAUUGCAAAUCAAUUAAAGAAACCCAAAUGCAGCUGUUAAUAUACAAGAAAAUUUAUCUUUAUGGAAGUCAAAAUUGUAUGCCCCUCAUCUAGACCUCUUUCCCUUUCAACCAUUAGUUUCUUUUUUUUUUUCUUUUCAAAUCUAUCACUAGUAUCCUUUUCGUAUUUAUCUAUUUCGACAAUAAAAUUGACUCACCUCAAUUUAUUAUUUGGCAAUUUCAAGUCAUUAGCAUCAGCAAAGCAUAAGAAAAGUUGGAAAAUCAAAAGGUUCUAAUUACUGAGAAUGAGAGAGGCGGACGUAGCUUUGCUGUCAUUAUGGUCAGUGCGAACAGGUUAUGGGAAAAACAAGAAAAGAGAUAGGACUCAAGAGAGAUGGGAAAAACAAAGAACUAUAAGUAGUUGGUGAAUUUGUGGCAAGAUAGAUAGUAGUGACAAUUUUUUUUUUUCCGUUUCACCAUUUUGUUUCAUCGCAUGGUAUAGAUUAUCUAUUUAAUAAAGGACAUUGUUGUCAUUUCACUGCAUCAAUGGAGGGUGGUGUAAUUUUCUAAACCUAAGGGGAGCUAUGUGCAAAUGCAAGUAACCUCAGGGGAGGUUUCUGAAAUUAUCCCUAUUUUUUUUUUUAUCAACAAUUGCCAAGCACAUGAAUUGAAUUCUCAUUUUCUUAGCGUCUUACAUGCAUGUUAAUGUCGUGUUGGGAUAAUUUGAUUGAUUUUCACAUGGAGUCCUCACUCCAAAGUCUCUAAUUCGAGUUCCAAUUGUUAUUGUUCUGGGUAUUGGCCGGACCUGCUCAACCCGGGUACUGUGAAAUUAGUCGAGUGUCGAUCCGGAUAUCCAGAAAAAGAAAAAACAUGCAUGUUAAUGAAUAAUUUGGUAAAUUAGGCUUCUUCUUUGUACGGCGCACGGUACACCGUAUACGAAACUAAGCUCUGCUAAUCAGAAUCUUCCUGAGAUCACACGUGCCACAUUGGAUGUGAUCUUGACGUGAUCAGGACGGUGUGUGUAGCACGGUCACGGUGUUCCUCGAAGUAGCUGAAUAUCCUUCUAUUUUAUUAAUGCUAAACAUCAGCGUUUGUGACUUGUCAGUUGUCCAGAGGCGGGAACCUCACCCGCCCGGCGCGCUAGGCUGCUGCCAGAAUUAUUGCCCGGGCAAAUAGAAGAGUAUUAUUAUAAUACAGUAGCAGUAACUAGUAAUUAUUUUUGUUAUAGUGAAGUUUAAUCUGGUUGAGAAUUGAUUAAAAAUGUUUACCACGAUCGAACAAAAUGUCACACAAGACAAAACAAAGCAAGUAUGUGAGGGAAAAAGGUAAUAGGGAUUGCAUUUUCCGUCAUUUUUCAUGGAAAAAUUACUGUAACGAUUUGAUGUAUGUGAGGGAAAAAGGUAAUAGGAAAAUGUGAUCACGGAAAACGACGUAAUUUUCUGGCAGAAAAUGGCAAUCCAAACAGGGCCAUUUUGGAGUGCAUUAAUUUGGACGACUUCUCCUCACUAUUUUCUUUUUUUUUUUUGUUUCAACUAACGAAUGAAUGCUUGCGUGACAACUUUACGUGCACUUCUUUUCAAUUUCCUAAAAUAUAAGGAGACUUUCAAAUUUUAUUAAUGUAUUGCUAUGCAAAAUUCAUGACCAAGACUAAAAAAUUAACCCAUAUAGAGCGCGAGGGAAAAAAUUAUAGAAUUUUUAAAUAAGUGCUUAAUAGCAGUCAUUAAUACAUUUAUUUUAAAUAUAAUUUAUCAUUUAAAUACACAUAUUUACUUUUUUUUAUACCAAACACAUUUUUAAUUGAAAAAUAAUAUUAACACUCCUUAAAAAAACGUUAUAGUACGAGGUGUUUUGAAGAGUGCUUGUAUCAUUUCCUUUCAAUUUUAUUUCACUUACUUCAAUUCAAAGCCAACAUGUGAGGGCCUUUUCAACCAGUGCCAAUUGGCACAGUUUGACAAAUGCGAAACUAUAUCCCAAAACAAGAAAUGGAAACAUAUUCAAAUACAGGAGAGACGUGCAGAAGAAUUAAAUAAAGAAAAGAUAAUUGGAAAUACGUCCAACUCUUGUCUUUAUUAUGGUCCAAAUUUCUUGCCUUUACUUUCUCGCUACCUUUUCUCUCUGCCUGCCCCCCUUACUGACUUUAGUCUCUUCUUUACUUCAUUCAAGAAAGAUAAAAGCCUCAGAUUGCAGAGAGACAUAGAUUUUGUCUGUACAAUUUGUAAUGAGAGUACAUAACUGAAGUCAUCAAACCAAGCAAAGUAGCAUUCUUUAUGGAGUGGGAUAAACAACCACCUCAGCAGCCACAAGCAACAACAGCUGCUGCUGCAGCAGCAGCAGCAGCAGCAGAGGAACUCAAUAAUGGAGGAAUGUUUGUUAAAGUUAUGACUGAUGAACAAAUGGAAGUUCUCAGGAAGCAAAUUGCUGUUUAUGCUACCAUCUGUGAACAGCUUGUUGAUUUGCACAAAUCUCUCACUUCCCAUCAUGAUCUUGCAGGUUUUCUAGCAGCCCUUUCUCUCUUUUUGUCUGCUUAUCAUCUUUACUGUGUGAAUGUGUGUAAGUUUGUGUUCAUGUUUGAUCGCAAUUUUGUUUUAUGUUCAUUGAAAUUAGAAAAUAAUGCGACCUUUUAACAGGUUUGGUAAAUCUUGGUAAAGGGUGUUGUUGGGAUCAUAUCUUGCUUGUUGAAUUUCGAGACUUGUCUUUUACUGCUGCUACUUUACCAUUUCUUGCUAUUCAAUUGAUAAAAGUGCUGUUUUUGGUUUUUACAAAUGUAUAUAUUGUCUUAGUUUUCUCACUUUUCUUCAAUGGGUUGGGUGUGAGAAGCCACCUCAAAGGGGUAUAAGCAAAUAUUUUGACAAUUGUACUUCGUCUAGAGUUCAAAGCGUUCACAUUCCUUGGUAUCUUUCAAUAUGUCUGGUCAAAGUUUUUUAAAUUCGUUCAUUGGGUUUGUUUAUAUACAUAGUGUACGUUUUAAUAAAAUUUUGAAAAAUUAUUUAUGAUUUGAUGGGGAUUCCAAAGUGGAGAAACCUAUUUCUUAAAGAUUCCCGGCAAGCUAAUGGCAGCAGCAGAAUUAAAGUAUCAAUAUUUAUUUAAUUUUGAGAACAAGUACAAUAUCAAUUUUCAUGUAAAUAACUCGGAUUAUUUGUGCUCUUCCAAAGUCCUACCUCUGACUCUUUGAUUUUAACUAGCAGCGAUUCCUCAUCUCUUAUUUCUCGGCAAGUUAUUGAAGAGUAUUCCACUUGUGAAGCCAUUACAACCUUAGUCUUCCUUAUGCUUCUGUGAUUUUAACUACCUUCUUGAUCGCCAUUUCUUCCAGAAACACGGUUUUUGACUACUUUACAUGUUAGCCAAAUUUGUUUUAAUGGCCUGGUCAUUGCAAACUUUGGCUUUCAAAACGUUCAUCUAGAUGAAGCGGACUGACUUGGCUGUAUUUGUAGCAUUAGACUGCAGUCAAUGAAAGGUAGUCUGCAUCUUCUAUGCACUUUUUUCCAGCCCAGUAGUCUUCUUGUCCACAAAACUGUAAGCAGAGAAGAUGUUUCUUGAAUUCCAACAGUAUGUGAAGGUUCUAUCAUAUCUAUACUCAGCCUAUUUAAUUUAAUUUGGCACAUUUAGAGGGACUCUUGAAACUGUGAUGUUUUCUUCUAAGGUCCCAUCUGCAAACAAACCAUGCGAUAUUCUGAAAUUAUAGUGAGGAUAAAUAACCAACACAGUUGACUGCAUGACUGGAUAACCUGAAAUCUUUGUGCACUGAGUAGAUCUCGUGGCGAUUACAAUUUUCAGAGUGUGAUCUUUCUUUGAUGUAUGUGAAACAGAAGACGUUUCAUAUCUUUGCAUUCCUCAUUAUCUGGAAUGAAUCUGCCCUUAAAAUGGGCAAACUGAUUUUCUUUUUGCCGUAAGUUGAGCUCUGCAUGUAGCAGUUAUCUGUUAACAAAGUAUACUUUGUUGAUGACAGUGGCAAACACCAGAGGAUUUGUAAUAAUUCAAAACUUGUCAUAAUCUCUUCUUCCUUGCAUUGAAUGUUGAAGAGGACGAAGUCCAAUUCCUGUUUAACAAGCCCCUUCAUCUUGAUUCUACUUUUUGUUGAAGGAAGAUUGAGUUCCUGUUGUUUCAGGUGCCAGACUUGGAAAUCUGUACUGUGACCCACUAGUGACAUCUGCUGGUCAUAAAAUUACUGGUAGACAACGUUGGACCCCUACACCUGUCCAGCUUCAGAUUCUUGAGCGUAUAUUUGAUCAAGGGAAUGGAGCUCCAUCCAAGCAGAAGAUCAAAGAGAUAACUAAUGAAUUGUUACAACACGGUCAAAUAUCUGAAACAAAUGUCUACAAUUGGUUUCAGAACAGGCGUGCUCGAUCAAAGAGGAAGCAACAAGCAGCUGCAUCAAACAACAUUGAAUCGGAAGUGGAGACAGAGGUUGAAUCACCCAAUGACAAGAAGACAAAGCCAGAGGAUUUGCAGUCUCCACACAUUCCAACUUCAAGGAACGAGGAACUCUGCUUUCAGAACACUGAUGUAAGCUCAGGGAUGCUUUCCAUUGACCCACGUAGCAGUAAACCAGAGCCGAUGUUCCCUUCAGAUGGCAGUUCAAAGUCAGCUGGGAGUUUUGGCCAGAUGUCCUUCUAUGGAAGUAUGUUAUCAAACCCAAGUAUGUAUUUCCUUUUAACAUCCUACCUCCGUUUAGUCACUGAAACGAACACUUGUCAUAACCUAGUUAAAUUGGUUGACUACAUUCUCAAACUUGAGAUCGUCAACUGGUUGUAUUUUGAUGAUCCAACAUAUCUAUCCUACCGAGAAUAUUUUUCAUAGCACUUCUUAGCAAGAAGCAUGUUAGCUAUAUUCACAUUCUUAGAUGUACAUGCUUGCUAUCAGAGAUCUGAGCACCAUUUACGAGCGUAACUCAAACUCCAAGUUAGCUAAAGGCCAAUCUCCUACUUGGAGAUGGUAGAACUAUAUAUUUGACCCCAGCUAGGAUUACAAAUUCGAUUCAUUUGCAAGGCUUUCUGAUAAUUUCACUUUCCAUUUGUACUUUCUACAAAAUGAGUUGCCUCAACCCAAAUAAAUUGUCAGUCGAAUUGAAAUCACGAUCUAUAAGGAAGAUUUAGCUUCUAUAAUACAUUCAAUAGUCGAAUUGAGAGGGCUGAUGUUGAGGUUCUUACAGAAGGUGCACCUAUUUCGAGAAGUCAUAAAAUGUUGUAUCUAAUUGAGCACGUAUGCUUGCAUAUUAUGAUCUUGAUAACCCUGGAUAACGGAUAUCUUUGUUCUGCAUUUGUUGUGCAUUCGAUAACACCAAGCAUAUUCAAUGGGUGUAGGAAUGGACCAGUUGCUUGGGAAGAUGGAGGUGCCGGAAAGCUACAGCCCUUAUCUGCAUGCAGAAGAUUACAACAUGACAGGCUGAUUUAUUGUGUUUCCACUUGUUCCUCGUUUGUGUUUAGCAAAGAAAAAUAUGGAGGGUUGUAACUGAAGACAUUGUACGCAGUCCCAAACACAAAGUGAAAUGUUCGAGAGUUGUAACUGAAGACUUUAUAGGCAGUCCCUCCUCUUUGCAACCUGAUGCUGAUUAUUUUCAGUGAUGGAUGUUAGAAGCACAUUUGAUCAUGUCUAGAAUAUAUGCUCAGAGCUGAACAAUAUGGUUAGUUGGUUGGCUUUAUAUAUCUAUAUAUAUAUUUCAGGAUUGUGGAUUUCUGAUCUUCUCUAUCUGGUGCCAACCUACUCUAUUCUAAUCUAGGGGGAAGGAGGAGCCUAAGGAGGCUGUGGUUGGGGGGAGUGCUAUGACACAACUCUUAGAUUUUUUUUACUACAGGUGAGGUUUGAACCCUCACCUACAGUUCACCGGUCGAGAUUAGCCCAGUGGUUUGUACAGGGAAUUAGCCCAGUGGUUUACAUUUUCUUUUACUCUACAUCAAAAAUAUAGUCACGUUUCUUUAAAUCAUAAGAAUCAAGAAGACUACACCUGGUACUGGACUACUGUAAAUUUUAAUCACCUUUUGGCUAACAAGACUUUAGUCUUCUAGUAAAAACAAUCAAGAUUCAUGUUUCAAAGUUAUAAAUUGUACGUACUUGGUAUACGUUCCUUCAAUUGUGGAUUGAAUUGUUGUGACCAAAAAAAAAAAAAAAAGAAACGCACGCACAAACACCUUUGGCUUUUUUUUUUUACAUGCUUUAAUUUUUUUUUUUUUGAUACUUAAAUCACAUGUAACAAACAAGAAAAUACAGUUUUAACUACUCGAAUCAACAUGAAUUAGGAAUUUGUGCAAUUGUCAUGCCCAAAACCAUAUAUAUACUACUGUUGCCCAAACCCCGUGUUUUGUAAAACAUUGAGCGUGAAAUGUGGAACGUGAUAAACCUAAUUAAUGAGCCAUAGAAAACCUUUAAAACAAAAUGAUGAAGUGGUCAUUUUAAGACGGAUUUCAACAUUAGUCAUUUUAUGCUUGCUUCACUAUUCAUGGAGCAGAAUUUGUUAACUCCCCAGAAAGAUUCCUCCCGAAGCCCACCUCCUAACUUCCGAGUGAGGAGUUGAAAUGGGUGAAUCCUCUGCAGCGGCUGAUGCGUACGAGAAUGGCAGAUACAAAUACAUACACGAUAUUCACAAGGGCCCACCUGAAGCCAUAGACGUUCAUCACAUUGUUCUCCAAAGAAGCAGUCAAAAGAAGCUCUUAAUUUUCUGCUUCCUUACUUUGCUUCUCUUCGCAAGUUCUCCCUUCUUCUUCUUCUUUCUUCAACAGGUAUUUAUUUCUUUUGGGCCAACUUCAGUCUUUAAUUCCUUUUUUCUUUUUGCUUUCCAAAUUUUUUUCUUCUGGGUUUUGAUUAUAUGGCAAGAGACAUUUAAAAAAAAAUUCCGUUCUUAUUGUUUGUUGGAAUGUCAAUUAUGUUUCGAAUUUUGUUCAUUUGGGAUUCGGAAUAUCAGAAGUGUCAUAUGACUUUAGAGAUUGAUGAUUAUGCAAUUUUAGUGCAAAGAUUUGUUGGAGGAACCAAUAUUCAGAACGUUAAUGGAAAAAUCUCUGCUGUCAAUGAACGAUUUCAUGGCUUUGCUCAGAAUUCUUGCUGAUUUCCUUGUUCUUGAAACGUCAUUGACCAAAAUGCGGUGUAUCUAAACUGUAAUUUAUUGAGUACAGAGUUGAUGGUUUAUUGUGUCUAACAUGAUGGGAAUAUGAAAUGCAGCUUAAUUUACUUACCACACUUCCAUGGAGUCUGCUUUUGGGUGGAUUGUUUGUCAGACUGUUAUCGCAGAAACUGGUUAAGAAAGGUAAAAAGCUGCAAAACUGGCCUAUUAGCACUCACCUUGCAACCCCUAUGGAGCAAAACAAACCAAGCAUGAAAGUUGCGUAGGAAAAAAAUGAUAAGUGCGCUUUGUAUUUACGGCUGUGAAUGAUGCAGCUGCUAGUUUUCAUUUCACGCGUGUAAGGCAUCAGGUGCCAUCAGUUAUUCAGAAAUUCUUUUUAUUCUGCUUACUGCAGAGUCUGUUAUCAUCCUGCCAGCUUUUGGGGUUCAGCUUGAGACUCAAUAUGGAAGGUACCUUUCAAUCUUGCACACGGAUGUGAUCUUUCAUUUCUUGCUAGGUUAUUCAAAACAAACCUCUUUCCUGUGGUUCCAUGAGUGGGAAUGUAGAUAUGCAAUUCACAAUCUGUUCUAAAAUUUGAAACGCUUAAUUUAGGACUUCUUAGACCACAAAAGCUGUGUUGUUGGAAGAAGUUUUAAUGGCAUGAUUUUUCUUAAAUGAAAGUAAAUCUUCUGGUAAAUAUAUCUUCCACAAAACUCGAAGUCAUAAUAUAUAGGCAUACAAUUAGCUUAUAUAUUGAAGGCAGACGAGUACUUAAAUAUUUCAUCAAAGAGUUUGCUUUUGAGCAUUGCUAUUCAUUAUAACAUGUUUGACUGAAAAGUUUUUGACUUUUUAAUGAAUAUAAUCGGGUUGGAUUAUAUAGUGAAUUCUGAUGGAAGAAACAUCACGAUCAUUAAGUACAAUGGCUGCUAUGCAUGAGGCCAUGUACCUAGGAGCAGUCUUGGCCGACCUCUUGUGAUCAACAUCGAAUGUGAGCAUAUUUUACCCUUAAAUCCUCAUCCGACAAUUUUUUGACUAGGCAUUCUUUUUUGGCAGUGGAAGAACCAUUCGCCGCUUUGUUCCCAUUAACAAGAUCUUGAAACCUGUGCUGAAUGAGUGUGUGACCCCAGUUACUUGUUACUGGAGCCUAGCCCUGAUUAUACGUGGAGAAGAAGAACUCAUGUUGGUAUUUAAGGUGAAGGAGACUCCAAGACUCUUCAAAUGGUCACUGUUAACUUGCACUUUCCAUACCCCUACAAAACCUGCUCACUAACUAUUUUAAAUGAAAUUAUUUUGCAGGAACUCUAUCCACCUGUAAAAAUGUUAGUGCCCAUCUGGAAGGCUGUCUGUGCUGCUAUUGAUGUUGAGGAAACAUGACAGCAGUCCCAUUACACUUUGGGAACUCCAGAAACAGCUCUUAACUCUCUAAUUUAUAUGUAUUUUUGGUCUAGAGUAAACUAUGAAUACCUUUUCAGUUGUUUACUCCCCUUCGGUGGACAGAAUAUGCUAAUCAUGUUCUUUGGUAUGCAUAGAAUAUGUUUCCUGUGAAGGAAAGGAAUGGCUGCGUUAAUUUUUAUGCCUCUUCAAGGCAAUUAAUGCAUCGAGUAUCUGCUUCCUCUGAACUAGUGAACUUUAUAGUUGGUAAUUUUUUUUUUUUGCCUGGUUUUCUUGUGGCUACACCUUUUAGGACUUCAACACCCACAACUUGGCAUGAAUUUGUUCUUUUUCGGGUCAAUCGGCAACUCUGCUCCUACUCUAACCUUUAUUAGGGGGGGACCCAAUUGGGCCAAGGGAGGCGAGAGGAUCCCGCCUUUGAUCUGCUGAUUUUGUUGCUCGUUUUCUGUUAAAGAUGUUUAUUUGAUGAUGAAGUUGAGUUUGUUAUGAUCUAUCAUACGCCCAGUUAGCUUUUCUUGAAAAGACACCAGAGACGCUUGCAGCAUGGGUGAUCUAAAUGGAAAUCAGUAGAUUCCAAAUGAAGCAUUUGGUUUAUUAUAUCCUAACACCCCUAUCUAACAAAAUGCACAUUUUAAAUGAGGCCGGAAUUAUGCAUCUUAUUCAAGCGAAUUGUUGGGCAGCACCCGGGGCACCUUUAAAAGCACUCAACUCCAAUCUCAGUAUUCCCCACAAUAAGAUUGCAGCAUAUGUCUCGGCACCGGUUGAAAAGAAUUUCAGUUCCCUAUAUUUUUGGGGUUUAAUUAUGUUAAUAUCAAUGAAGAGAAUCUAAUUUUAUUUGUACAGUAAUUGAAGGACAAAUGUACAUUUUCUUCCUGUAUUAGGAGCCAACGGACAGCAACCGUACAGCUCUAACCCUAUGCAAUUCAAAGAAUGGUAUCAUUUUACAUUUUGAAGGUAUUGAUGUACAACAUGUACAAUAUUUGUACUGAGUCUGGAAGUUGGCUGGAAUUUUCAUAUUCAGCAUCUCUAUCACUUUCUAGACUAUUUAUGUCGACUUACAGCAAAUAACAGCAAACAGCUAUUGCUAUCAUAUCCCAGAUUUAGCUAGCAGAGGGAUGUCGACUGCGGAAGCAGUCUCAAUUCUCUGACAUAAAUUCUGAUAGACCAGAACAGAGGUAGAUAACAUUUCAACUUAAUCCCCGAAGCAGCAGUUCAAAAACCAUAUGGGAAACCAGUUCCAGCCAUCUUGAAACUACUCCAUGGCUGAGGUUAACCGACUUGCAGCACGCUCUAGGCUGAUUUCUUGCCUGCACAAACCUUGCCACAACUCACAUGUACCACUGCUGCGUAGUCCAAGUUUAUCAAUUUGCUUAUGCAAGAUGUCCAAGUUGACAAGGGGAACUGUUGUUGGUCGCCCAUGAGCACACUGCAGAUUAAACCAUGAUUAGCAUUCAUGCAAAAGUCAAGCACACUAAAAUUGAAUUUUGGGCAAUGCAUAUCAUAUUAUAUCUACUACUUUUAACUCACUUGAAAACACAAUGAAGCCUGCUUCAGCUCUUCAACAAUGAGUGAACAUUCUGAAGGCAGUAAUGUGUCACCAAACAUAAUUGCACCUAGAGUUCACAAUUUGACAAAAAAGAUCAGUCCGGAAAAGAUUGCCUGACUAUUUUUUUAAUCCACGCCCAGUAUUCAGUCUAACUGGAACCAAAAGGUCAGGAAGCUAAGAUGCAAUAAACCUAUAAAAGUAAGCACCCAUUGAGGAGCAGCAUUUAGCAACUUUCUGCUCUUCCAACUUCUUUUAUAGUGUUUCACAUUCAUCCAUCCAUCCAUCUAGAGCAGAACUUCAUUAGCAUUUUAAGUCACAAGAUUGUACCUCUGCAUGCCUUGCUGUUAAGGACUCGAUGAACUGAAGGUGGUAUUGUGGAUGAUCCGUCUGUAUCAGCAAGCUAUAUUUUGCAAUGGAAUCAAGUUGAACGAAAUUUUAGUUUUUGAAAGAAAUACAGUUAAACCCCCCCCCCCCUCCUCGUUUGUUGAAUGAAAAGCAAGCGACAAUUGAGAACCAGGUCAAAAUCACUAUCAGGAUAGGGCAAUAAUAACUGAAUUACCUGUUGAAGAAAUUCUAACAGAUCAAUAUCUGUUAACUUAACCCCCAAAAUACAUGGCACCUGCAGAUUAAAAUAAAAUAAUUUUAAAAAAUCAGGUUUCUUAAUGAAAGCCAGUGGAGGAAAUGCUGCUGACUUGCAUGGCAACAAUAGAAGUUUCCAGUAAAUUCAAUUUUUAACACUUAAUGAACUUUAAUGGAAAUCAACAAAAUCAAAGGAUAGGGCAUGUCAGAACUUUACCGCAACGAGUUUAGCAACAGUUGGCUGCCUGCAUAGCACAUUCAAGUUCCUGCCCGAUAAAAAAAGAAAAUUUCUGAGACUGGUGCACAAAGUUCCAUUUUGCAUUCUGGUCAAAAGCUGAACCAGGCAUCAGAAGCCAACAUGAAAUGAAACCAGAAACUGAAAAUGUAGCAGCUUUGAGCUAUCUUAUGAGCAAUGACACAGAUUAGUGCUGCGUAAGUCAUAGAGAUAAACUGCUUGAUAGAAAAAAGAGGAUCAUUACUUUCCAAAGGAGCUUGCGCCUCGACCACUGAUGUUGCAGAUCCAACCCCAAUUUUCAAUUAGACUGACAUAAUUGUGCAGUAACUGAUAACCAAUUUCAGGCAGGACCUGCAGCAUUGUGGUUGGAAACCAUAAUAAUAUGCAAAAAGUGAGAAAUUUUCUGAUUAAAAUCAGCCAAUCAUCCGCAGAGAAAUGAACAUUAAGAAAGAAAGUACCAAUUCUUGCUCAGCUUCUAGAUAGGCAACUUGUUUCAUUUCUCCAUCUAGAACCUAACAUUUACUGAAUCAGUUAGCUGCAGUUCAGAUAGCAAUAGAUGCUGAGCAACUCGAAAACAAUUUUACCUUCUGACGCAGUUCUUCUAAUCGGAUCCUUUCAUCUGCAGCAUGCUGUAGGAAAGCAUCAGUGAGGUCAGGGAAAAAAACAUUUAUUUCAACCAAUCAAAGGAUGCUUUAACUCUCCACAUGCAUCAAUGUCGAAAGGUAUUUGAAUACUGAUUUAAGCAGAACAAGUCACCAGCAUCCAAACGUUGCCUAAGUUCAUGGUUAGGCACCACUUAAACUUUUAAAAAUCGAGAAGCUUAUUGGGUUUAAAAAUUUUCGACAGAUCAACAUCCUUAUCCAUUCUGAAGACCCUUGCAUUCUUUAAUUUAAUAAUAGGUGAAACUCUACCUGAAAACACGCACAAUAAAGAUGAUCACAUAAACUCAACAUUACAUAGACAUCACGUCACAUAAAGCAACAUUAGCAGAUAUCUCAGAGCAAUAUGCAUAACAGGCACUCUGUGCCAUAAAAGCAGUAAACACAGACCUGAUCUAUGAUGGCAAGUAUUCUGCCAGCCACAACUGGAAUGAAUUUCUUAUCAACCUGCGGAAGAACUUUGGCAUCCUUAAGGCAGUUCUUGUCAAUAAAACUAGGAAUCAAUGAAUCCCCAGCAAGGUGCAGGAAGCCAGACGACACGUCAAGUAUGCAGUCAUGAUCUCGAGCUACUUGUGACUUCAUUACAUCCUGCAUGAUAGUAUAACAUUUUCAGGCAAAAAUUCAGAUAGCACUUCGCUAACAAGAUAGAAAAUUGGCAAGUUACUGACCACAGCUUGUGGGGAACUCUUACGCCACUUCAGGCCAGAAUCUAGAUCAUCUCGAGUUUCCUUUGAUGUGGAAUCUAAAAGAAUGAGUAAAUUAUGAUGGGAUUAAGUCAUUAUUAAGGCCCAAAGUUGAUUUUAUAAAUUUAUAUGUUCAAAAGACUCUUGAAAAACUGUUAUUAUGGACUACCCAAAAGGAUUUCAACACUAACAUUUUGCUGGAAACUUCACUAAUGAUACAAUGUCAUGCAGGAAAUGAGUCCCCAAGAAAGAUGGUAACAAACAGGGAAAAUGAAUUAUCACAUGGAAAUACGCAUCCAUCAGCUCCCCAAAAAGAGCUUUGUUAGCUACAAACGAUAAAAGAGUUACCUUCAACGAGCUUAAAAUUGCAGCAGUUGAUGCAUUGACCUUUCUUUUGGAAAUCUUUGCCAUUCAAUCUGACAAGAGGAUAGCAUUGUUGCAAAAGCAGAGAUCCACUAUCAAAAUUAAUAUUCCCAAUGGCACAAAUUUCAUCUAAUAUUCUAUAAGAAAAUUAGGAGAAAAGAUGAAUUACAUACCUGCAAACAGAUGAGCAAUUAUUUGCAUAACUUGCCUUUAAAGGAGAAUGACACUGACCUAAUGAUUGUUGCUGAUGUAGUGAGUUGCUAGUCUCUGCACAACGAACAUGUCAAUUUAUUUUAUCAGUAUCCUAUUCUUUCUGCAGAUGUGCUGAUUUACAUAACACUUGAAUUUACGAUGGCACCUGGAAGAGCAGAGUCAUUAUUCACUGCAGGAGAAUCAGUUCUUCCACCUUCCAUUUUCCAUGAGUAAUUAAGACCAAUAAACUUCCUCCGAGGCCUGUAAAAUGGUGGAGCUGAAUGGCUUCUUCUUGCUCCUUUCUUUUGACCUAUACUUUUUUCCAUUUGAUGUAUGGAUCCUUCCAAAUUUAUUCCUGUCAAACUGAGCAGGUAAUGAAGUCUGAUCUAAUGGAUUUGAAACUUUUGGAAGACUGUUUUUGCCACAAGACUGCAUAAGCAACCAAUCCAUUUCAUCAGGAAAGACACUGGAACAAUUUGCAAAGGUAAAAUCAUUGUGCUUACGUCCUCUAGCUUCACUAACAUCUCCCAGAUGAUCAGAAUAAAACUUGAACGAGGAUAAGUCUGUGCAGUUCUCUAGUUCCCAACUAUUUACAGAAGGAUCACGGUUAAAGUGGCCGUAAUCCCCUUCUUGAUCUGGAAUAUAGCCAGAUGUAGUACCCUUACUAUAGUCACAACAUACAUCUUGACCGAUGAGAUGAUCAACAUCUGGAAUCUCAGUACCAAACAAGGAUGGUAGCACCCGUGGAGACCAUUCAGAAGUAGAUGACAGCUUAUCUCCAUCAGAUUGUUUAAUGUGUUUAAGUGAACCGGACGGAAGGUUGUUCUCUUCACCUGAACACUCUCCGGCAAUCAUGGAUGACCUCAAAUCUUGCGAUGAACUGUUAGCAUUGGUUAUUUUAUCAGGUUGAUUGGUGCACCUGGAAAGGGACCACAAAGAUUUUACUCUUUCGUUCCUUGACAAACUUUCUAUGAAGAUCUGGUCAGUGUCAUAUUCUUUUCCACCAUCAGACCCCUCAUCAAAGUUGAUCCACUUAUGCUGAGUUCUAAAGUCAUAACUUCCAAACCCAGUUUCCACUUUGGUCAGAUGGGAUGAGCCCACAUCUUGCAGGCCUCUUCCUGUCAAGCAACUGAGCUGGGAUGGUCUUCUGAACAGCUGGUUGACAAAUGCAUCCUCACCGUAUUCUUCAGAAUGAGUAUAAAAGGGACUCCUUAUUGACAUGUUCAUCUCGUCAUCCAUUUCAAAGGAUUCAUCUUGCCAUUGUGAAUCAAAAAAGUAGUUUAAUUUCUUUUUGCCGGUCCCUUUAGUGGACUCCUCUUUCACCAAAAUAUCAUCUCCAUCAGAAAAAUAAUCAGCAGAUGACUGCAUGUGAUUGCGAAUCUUUUUAUUGGUUGUCACUCCGCAAUGAAACGGAGAAGCAUUAAAUGACUGAAUGUCACAGUCCUCAAAUAAGGCAUCUGUUUUGUGCUUUUGUAAUUCAGAAGCAUCUCCAUCAGACUUCUGACGUGAUGAUAAACCCUCUUCCCAGGCAGGCAAAUUCUUACAUUCUCUCAUUAGUUUCUGUGACUGUGAACAGUGAACUUCAGGUGAAGCCAGCCAAUCUUUGGUCCUGCACCUCUUUCUUCCAGUUUGAUCUUUUAGCAGCAGAUCUUAAAAAGAAAAGGCCCCAUCAAUAUCCCAUGACAAAAGAACCAACAAGCAUAUGGUUUCUUGAAGGCACAAGCAAGACUGAGGCAAGUACUAAAUUCGCAGAAACUUCUCCAACAAAACUAGCUUAAGAAAAUCAGUUAUCCAAUAGUGGUUAGAAAAUAUUCUAGUUUAUCUAGUUUGACAGAAACACAGAAUUCCUUGCACAAAAAGAUUUCUUUGUUCCUACCUCCCACAAUCCAUUUUUUACCUGGCAGAUCACACUUGGAAUAACGAUUCUCUUCAUAGCAUAUACUAUACCCCUUAAAGUUUCUAUGCCCCCCAAAGCUUCAACAUACAAAUUAGACAAAUGAAAUCAGCAUUUACCAUUAGAGAUACUUUCACUCCAAUAAUGGGUGAUUGUAUUCUGAAUGAAUACAAGCACAGGACCCCAUUCCUGCAAGGGAAAUGAAAGAGGAGAAUAAAUUGCCAAAACGAAACCAGAGGACUUUUCCUAAUAGAAAAGAUGAUUCAGAAAUUAGCCAUACAAAGUCCACACAAACAAUACAUACGCAAUAUGAGAUUAGAAUAUUACUUUCAACUUUGUGUUUUAGUCAAUUGAAUCACCCACAAAAGCAAGUCACAUAAUAACAAUUGAAGAGAAAAUGGACUAUAUUAAUUGCAACACUGCUUAGCAAAUCAACCAAUGCAUCUCAUUGCAUGAAUAUGAACAAGUCAUUACUUUUCUAAACAUGAUAAAUGGUGCUGCACAUGUUAAAGUUAACUACAGUAUUUCAACAGGCCUAUGGUGGUAGAGUAAAGUAGGCUCUAGCAGCAUUGAGGUUCCACAAUGCCCUGCUGGCAAAAGAUUCUCAUAAAUAAGAACAAGAAACGUGUGAACUCAAGUCUGCACGUUUAGCACACAUAACACCAAUUGUGUCCCAGACACACCUGAUGCAUUAAGUGGAUUUCUGGUAUAUAAAUGUCAAUACCAAAGAAAUGAGAAGAAAAAUGAACAUAUUUGUGCAUAUAUUACAUUGAGACAGUGAAAUUCACAAAUAAACAAUUACAUGCUUCUUUAUGUUUAUCCGUCUGUACAUGUUGAAUGUCUUGAAGCCUUUAAACAACUUAUAUAAUAAAAUAGCACAAGAAAUCAUAGUCAUUAAGACAUUUAAUAUCAGAAUUCGUAAAGCAUCAAAUGAAAUUCUUACUGUAAAUUCAACAGAGUUCUUUAGUGGUUCAAAAGUCAUGUCAUAGUAAGAUCUUGGGCAAGAGAGGUUCAAAAUGAAUGUUGGACAUGUCUGAGAUCUACUUUGCUUCUCAUUUUUAGCCCCAAUGUUAAAUCUCUGAUCAUCCCAAUAGCCAGAAGCCAAAUGAUUCAGCAAUUUAUGUAUCGGUCCCUUGCAGAUAAACCUUGAAUUGAUGUCUGCAUCAGUUGAUGUUAAAGAAAAUGGAUGCACAAAAUGGUCGAUCCUCCCCAAUCCAACCAUUUGCCCAAAGCAUCAGCUUAUAUACAUUAUCGGUAGGCAACAACAAGAGGGAUACAGAUAUACUGAAAAGCCUGUAAAUUCCAGUAGUGAUGAAUUAGAAAAUCUGACUACAAACUAUAAAGCUAUACAAUUUCAUAGCUCAUAAAAGUCAGCAGUCUUAAAUUUGGUACCUUUGGAGACAAAAUUCCGAAUGGACUAGACAGGUAUCCAAAAAGCUUGAAUUCUCUUUCAACAGCUUUGAUUUCAUAUAGAGAACAGGCAGCUUCAAUGCCAAAAUUAGUGGAUAAUAGUGGCAAAGGAGAAGGAGAAGAAGAUGUACUGAGCAGUUCUUCCUCACUGCGGUGCAUGAAUGGAUUGUAAAUGUGUACUAAGACUAGCUAUAAGUUGUUUUGUUAAAUUAAAAGAACAAACCUCUCGAUAUCAGAAACUCUGAAAGAAACCCUGGGGUGCACCAGUGCAAUUCGUAGCACACAUUUCUUGACCAAAUGUAAGACCUUCUUGGGGCUUCCAAGGCAGACCAUAAGUUACAAGUAGCUCAGAUCAGUAUUUGUAAAUAUCUAUAAAGUAGACUUUUUUGUACAUCCAGAAACUUUCACCAGUCAUCUAAAACAUUAAUGGCCAAGUCAAGCAGGUACCUGGAUUGCAUGAGCUUCCUCCGAACUGGUUGGUUAUAAAACAAAUCACGAACAACAACUGCAAAUACCAGGAAGGUAGGGCAAUCUCUCAAUCUCAAUAAACAUAAUAAAUGGAAAAUAUUACAGAUGCUAAUUGCUAGUCACUUCAGUCAAAUCAAAAGCUUGACUUUGAUGUUUAAUCUGCAAACUUUUUGCUUCCAAAAAUCACGUAACAACUAGUGCAGACAAUUUCAAAAUACCAAUCAUAAUUUACAACAAUAAGUGCUAAAGUGAAUUGGCUUUCACCGCCGCCCUCCAUCGAGCAUUGAAGCUUGUUGGUUGACAUGUUAGCUGCAAGGUGUAUGCUUGCCUGUAUUUCAUUGUUUUGCCCCUUUUCUCAAUCUAGCAAUUCAUUUCAUAUCACAAAAUGAUGCCGAAUUGUUUAACUGAUUUGAAGAUUGACAUAACCUCCGUGAAAAUAUGCAGUCUCUUUUUAAUUUUUCCGAUUUCAAGAUACGAGUGGAUAACAACAUGUAUUUCAUUGUUUUGUCCCUUUUCCCAGUCCAGCAAUUCAGUUCAUAAACUUGAUAGAUAUUGAAACACCCAAGUGAUCUUGAAGAUUGUUGACAACAACACCUUUAUAAUGUGCAUUCUCUUCUUAAAACUUCUCCUCCUCAAUAUGGGAGUAGAAAGGUGCAAGAAGAUCACAAAAAAUAUCUUUCACAGGGCAAUGUGUCUUCUGACUUCUGAGACAAUGGUAAUUAAUAGUAAGAACUCGUUACCUGUUGUACCCGCAUCAUGUCUAUCAUCACUGAUUCCAAGGUAUAAACACUUGCAGUCCUACAAAAAUAUAACAAGAACAGCAAUGGUUCAUCCGGAAACAGGCUGAAGGAUAUUGAAUACGAAACUGAAACAAGACUGCAAACUCAUUAUACCUUCAUAACCUUCCGAUAUCCAUGAGGCCUCCCAUGAGCUUUGGUAAUUAUUUCAAGCAAAGAAACAUCGGAAAUAGAGCACAGUGCUUCUCCACGAAAGCCGAAGUUUUGAUUAGCGGUGUCCAAAUCAGCCAAUUGAUGAUGCUUUGAUGUUGCUGUCUUAGCCAAAAAAGGACACAAUGAAGUACACAACAAGAAGACAGGUCCCAAAGAAAGCUUUUCUAAAAGGGUCUAAUUGUAUUGCUUCAACUAUAUUCCAGAAGUCUUUAAAUGGAAUGCUUACCCACCUUAUCUUUAGGACCAGAAUAGAGUGCCAUGUCAAUCAUGACUUUCUUAUUCUUGAUAUUAGCUCUUCAAAAAUUACAUCAUAGGCCAGCUUAGAAUGUUGUAUUCAAGUAAAGAAAAUAGCCAACACUCACCAAGACACAGGUAAAAUGUUUUCAAAACAAAAAGGUUUUCUACUUAAAAACUAUUACCAUGUCUUUCUCCCAAAAGCACUAAUCCAUCUCGAUCAACACCAGAUCCUAUAAAAUCAUGGAAUGAAUGAAUGAAUAAUUAGAACAGGUGGAUAGAUGAACUCCAGCAUCCAAAUAGUAGCUAAAUAUAGUUCACAGUAGCAAAUAUUUGUUGUUCAGAUAAUCAUGCUACUAACCAUUGUCCAUUACUUUGACAGAACAUGUCCCGACACCUACUGAAACAGAUACCUAAUGAAAGAACAAAAUUUCCAGAGUUAGUUUUUGGAAGAAUCAAGAACUGGGAUGAAAUGGCAGCUAUGACAAAGCAAUCAAGACAUCAAAGUUGCUGCAACUUGGCAAAAGAAAAUUUGGUAUCUUGAGAAGCUUCAGAAUUAUACAGGUAAACACAAACCAUAAUUGAGAUUGGUGGAACCAUAGUGUUUCCAGGGUUUGAAAGUUGCUUAUAAGCCGUUUAUAUCAUUUUCUCAUAGCAUCAUUAAAAUUCCCCCCCCCCCACCCCACGCCAAAAACUACUCAUACCUACAAUAUUAAAGGGGAAAAAAAGAAACAAACAAACAAAAACACUCGCAAUCGGCACCUUCUUUUUCAGCAUUCUGAUUUCCAACCUACCAUUUAGUUGCAAAAAAUUCCACGUCUUCCGGAUUACACAUCACAGCUCAUUAUUCAACAAAUAAACGAUAUUACGAAAAAAAAAAAACCAAAGUAAUUCAUUCCAAUCUGAAAUAAUAAUCCCCAAUCCUCCCCUAAUCCUAAUUGCAGAUAAAUCGAAAAUUUACCAUAAGAUUGUUCAAUAAUAGAAGUUACCUUGGUCGCGCCAGCAUCGAGACUGUUAAAAACCAGCUCUUCCACAACUCUAGUCAAGUCACACACAAUAAUCCCUGACCGCACCGAAUUCCGAACCGCCUCCGGCAAGGGCUUAAUUUUUCCCAUCUCUUCAUUCGCUUACAUAAACCCUAAACCCUAAUUCUGCAUUUCCCAAGGAGAACGGAAACCAAAAAAAAAUGGCGGGAAAAAUCGAUUUAGGGUUUUGACUUCAGAAUAUUAAACCUUUGAUGAUUAACUGAAAAAGAAGCUGCUUUACUCUAAAUUGCGCCCGUGGGGUGGAGGUUAAACAGCUCUAAUUCUCUGUUCGAUUAUUUGAACGAGAAAAUGGCGGCAGGAGAGAAAUGUGUCGCCCGAGGUUCUCACUUCUAAGUUGCGCGCGCAGUUACAGAUGAGUAUUUAUAGCUUGGUUGUUCAAGGUGGGCCCCGUUUGGUCUCAAGGUGAUGAAUGAUAACGUCACUUGAUCAAGAUUAGGUAGCAUUAUACGUGGAAUUUCGAUACAAUAAGCGAGUGCUUUGUAAGAAGUCCGUUUGGGUAAUUUGAUUGGUUGAGGUGAAGUAGAUACGUGCCCUGCGGGUAACUUAUUAAUUGUGUCAUUACAUUUUUGCUUUGGAAACUUUUAUGAAAGGCUAUCCCGUGGCGUAAUUUUGCUGUUAGGAGUGGAAGUUACAAAAAUGGCCCCACAUUUCUCACUAAUUUGAUAAAAAUAGGUUAUGUUUAACAACGACCUACAUUAAAUAAGAAUAUUUUAAAAAAAUUAUAAAUUAUCUAAAUUUCAAUUGAAAAAUAUAGUAUAAUUUGAAAUAGAUAAAAAUAAAUGAAUAUAUCAAAUAACGGAGGAACAGUAUAUUAUACUUUUAAUGCAUAGAACAAGCAAAUGUCGCCAGAAAACGAAUCAUGUACUAACUAUUGAAUAGAAUAACCAAAAUCCCUGUCAAUGGUCAAACAAUAACAUGUCUAUGUUUGGAUCCUUCAGUUUUUCAAAUAUCUUUAAAAGUUUUAAAACUUUUAAACUUUUAAACAGCUAAUCCAAAGUUUUAAAAGGUACUCUAAAAAGUAGUUUAAAUUUUUUUUAAUGUUUAAAAAAUAUUCCAAAAUAUAUUUUAAAAACUCUACUACUCUUAAAUAUUCUAAUAUAUUUUCUAAAAAUAUCCAAAAAUAUACUCUAUGUUAUAGUAAAAUUUUUCAAAAACAACUAAUCUAUCAUGUUUCUCCUUUUACUGAUUAAUUCAAGCUUUUAGAGCAUCUUUUAAAAGCAUGAAGACAUACAUGCAAAUGCAUGCGUGAUUGGAGGUGUCGACAUCCGAAUUGACAUGUAACUAGGACUGCAAACGAGUCAAGUCGAGUUGAAUUUUAAGCUAAUCGAGCCAAGUCUCGACUACAUUUUACCAAACUCGAACUCGAGUUUGAGCUCGAUGAGCCGGCAAUUUAAAGCUCGAAAAAAAUAAAAAUAAUUAUUUUAUUUUUUAAAAAAAUAAAAUAAUAUUUUUUUAAUAAAUAAUAAAAUAUUAAGGAUAUAUAUGUAAUUUUACUAUUAAAACAAUAAAAUAAAAAAAUAUAUAUAUACUUAAAAUAAAAUAUAUAUAUACUUAAAAUAAAAUAUAUAUAUACUUAAAAUAAAAAAUAUUAUUUAUAUAUAUAUAUACUCGAGACGAGCUUAAUAUUUUGAGCUCGAUUUUGACUUGAACCAGCUCGAACUCGAGCCGCUCGCGAGCUCGAUUCAUUUGCAGCCCUACUUGAUGUAAUUGGAUUUUCCCGAUCAUAUCUACAGGACAAAAGUUAUUCGUGCUCUUUGGGAGGUUAGCAAUUAGACAUUGUUUAAGUAACUAAAUGUUUAAACUGCUUACAGUAAGAUCUCUAUAAAUUAAUAAUUUUGUGACCAUAUAAAUUUUAUUAAUUUAUUGUGCAUACUUAUAGUACAAAUAAGUAGUCAUUUAAUCAACUAAAGCUUUAUUUUAUUUUAUAAAAAAAAUAUGCAUUGUUGUAUUAACAAAAGGAGGAUAAAUUUUAUGAAAUAUAAACCAAUCCACAUCUGCUUGAUGUGCAAAUAUAAUUUAAUUCUAUUAAUGUCUUCAAUAAAUGUAACUAAUAGGCUAAGGAAUAGUUUUUCUAUUAUCAAGAGGCCAAAAAAAUUAGGAAUACUAAAUUUUAGAUAUCUACUUCUAUUUUAUUAAAUGCAUACAAUGAAUUAGAUUAAUAAUAUAUUAUGUGUAUAAAUGAUAAGGAAGUCUUCUUAUAAUAAACAAAUACAAAGUAUUAUUACAUAUCUCGUUAUUAAACUAUAGGAGGCUCUAUCUAAAAGGCUUUCAUAAAUCAACAAUAAGACUUAUAUUUUAGGAAAAUAUGAUUUGUAAUUCUAGUAAAUUAUUAAUUUAUAGUAUGAAUGGGACUAAACAAUUAUGUAAGGUUUUCAAAAAAAUCUAUUAUCUUAUUAUUUUAUCAAAAUUAUUAAUUUAACUCAUUAGCUUAAGUUGGACUCAGGAAAAAUAUUAUUUAAAAAAUAAUUAAUUUAUUGAGUAUUAAUUUAUAGAUAUUUUACUGUUUAUGAAAAAUUCUUAAUACCACAGUGAAUAUGAGAAUUGCUUAAUUUCACGAUGAAUUAUUACUUCAUAUUUCCACUUUAUAAGAGGAAAUUUACCAAUUGUGUUAUAAAAGAGAACUAGAUAAUUAUGAUAUCAACUAUGUCAAACAUAUCGUGUUUUGCAAGCGUUACAGGAAAUUAUCUAUUUUUCAUUAUUGCAAGGUGACAAAAAAGAUAUUUGUCUAUAUGCAUAUAUUUUCUCAAUCUCGAUCAGCCUCUGACAAACAUGUUUAAAUGGAAAGAGUGUUCUGUACAAAGUAGAUUUAAAUAUAUGCGAUUUUUCAACGACUUCAAAAAGAAGGAAAAUAAAAUAUGAAAAGAUUAUUCUUGAUCAAAUUUUAUGUUUGUCAAUUUGUCUGAUAGGGGAAAAACAAAUAGUUGUCAUUUUAUCUUCUACACCAUAUAUAAAAGGAGAGAGAGUUUUCUGGUGUAAAUAAAAAAUUGUUAUCUCAUGAUCUUCUUAAAUAUUCUUAAAUUAUCUUUUAAGUACAACUAUCCUCUAACAUAUCUACUCCUGCUUAGGGGUGCAGUUAAAUCCAAUAACUUUACUCAAGCUCACAAGUAACUCGAUCAACUGUUUGUUAAAGUUCGGUCAAUGCUGAGUUCGAAUUGAGCUUGAACUACUCGAUUGAAGUUUCGAGUCAAACUCGAAUAUGUAUAUCAUAUAUUCAAGAACUCGUCGAACUAUAUCAAGUACUCGGUGUAAUAUUUAAUUAAUAUAUUAUAAAUAAUUAAAUUACCUUUUUAAUUUGCUUAUUUGAAAUAUUUACGAUCCUAACCAUUUGUCAAGUUUGAGUACUUGAGUUUGAGCUCCCCAACUUCUCGAACCCUAUUGAGUCGGGUUCGAGUGUUUCCAGUAUAACGUUGAGUCGAGCUCAAGCUUUGUUCACAUAACUCGCUCGAGUACUGCUACUAGACAUUGAGUCCAAACUGGAGUAUGGCAAAUAAUAGCAUAUUUAUAUAUUUUAUUUAUGUAAAUGUCAAUUGUCUGCAUGUAUUAUAAAAUUAUAAAACCAAAUCUCAUAAAAAUAAUUUUGACAAAUAUAUUUAAAACAUUUUAAAAUAUUUAUUUAUUAUUGUACACGCAUUGAGUAUGUCUUAAGCACUAAUUAUUAUCAUACAUAUACUAUAUAUAAAGGGUGAGGUGGGAGUUUGGAACAUAAGUUUUUUUGCCACUUUUUAUAUUUCCAACUCUAUUCUCGUGAAAGUCAUUCAUAAACUUUUAUUUGGGGGUGAAUAAUUAUUAUCACUUUAUAAAUUUUCAUUCUUACCCUUAUGAAAACUGUUAUUACUUUAAUUACCUACAUAUGUUGUCAAGAUAACCACCCAUGACCAUUUUACUUUUAGCUAUUUAAGCAUAUAUUUUCAACAUAACUAUCUCUAAGGAUUAUAACUUCUAAUAUAGAAUUAUUUUAUGAAAUAAUUUUUUUGGUCAAACUUAUGAAAUAAAUUUAAAAGAUCAAACUUUGUUCCAGCAAUAAAAUUUUGCGAGUGUGCAUAUAGCACUAGUUAUUAUUACGGCGUGGAAUUGAAGCUUUUAUGAAAUAGAAGGAAAUUAGGUAAAACAACUAUUGAGGGGAAAAAUGGCAUUGAUGGAAUUUAGCUUAAAAAACAAGGCUGAUGCAUGAGGCAAUAUGCUUAAAAUUUUUACGGAAAUUGCGUUGUGGUUUUCUAGAAUGAGAGCCAAUAGAAUUCUUUUCUGACAUAGUAUGAUCUUCAAAAAUUUAUUUCUUUCUCUCUCCUCUCAUUCUAACUGGUUUUUAACACAGACCAUUUUUCUUCAUCUCUCUCUCUCUAAAAACCCUAAUUCAACACUUUCUCUCCUCUCUUUCAAACAUGACAAGAUCAGGUAUUUCCGUCUUCAUUGUAUUUCCAUUGCAAUUAAUUUUUGCUUAUAUUUUGUCACAUGUAUGAUUGAAUUGUGUACAAGCACUUCUAAGCUUAUUGAGAUUUGUAUAAUUCUGUUGAAUCAAGUUGUUGAUUGUCUGAAUUGUGGUUGUUAUUGGUGUAAUUAAUCGCUAGUUGUGUUAAAGAUUGGAUUUUGGUUGUUAAAUCACGGGUUUGAAUGAAUUUUGGAUUUUGGAGGUUCUAAUUGUUGUUUGCUAAUUGGUUGCAUUGGAUUGUUUUGUGGAUGCUGACUUUAUGAUUUGAUGCGGUGUGGGGAUUGCUUAGAUGACGAAAUUUCGGUGAUUCAUGGAAAAUCUGAUGUGGGUUUUGGAUUUUAGUGAUGAAUAUGAAUUUUUUGUUUAGUGGAAAUUUGAAUUUUGUGCUAAAUAGGUGCUUUUGAUUUUUGUGGUUUGUAGAGUGAAUGCUGUUUGAGCGAUCAGUUGUUGCUGCGUAGAUGUAGAGAGAAAUGGAAGCUAAUACUUGUGAUAUAAAUCACUUGGAUGCUGAUGUGCUUUUACCGCCUCGAAAGCGGCUUCUUGCUGGGCUGAAAAGACAGAAUUCUGAUGUGAAUCCGCAAACUCCUACCAGUGCUUCUAAUGGUGGGAGCGAAUUUGAUUCCCGCGUUAAUAAUUUAAUGAAAUCUCAUUUGAGUAACCCUAACUUAUCAAAUGAGGAGAUUGUGGAGGCGUCUAGAUUGGCUGCCGUAGAAGCAGCCAAGGCAGCACAGGCUGCUAGGGCCACAGCUGAAGAGAAAGCUGCAAAAGCAGCUAAGGCAGUGGCUGCUGCAAAGAGUGCCCUAGAAUUGGUUGCUACUGUCUCUGAGGAGAUUGAUAAUGGAGAAAAAUACUUGAAGAAGAACAAGAUGAAGAAGCAUGUACAAGUCCAAACUUUGUAUAAUAAGCCGAGAGGGUCUCAAGGAUGGAAAACAGAUGAAGAAUUAGCUCGAAAGUUGCAUCGGGCCAUCAACAGUUCCCCGAGAAUAUUGAAGAACACUUCUACUUCUGACUCCAAAAGUCACAAACAUAAGAAACUUAAAAGGUCAUCUUCUUUUGAGAAGACAGCAGUUAGCAAUGGUGGUACUGUUUUGCAUGUAAACCAGGCUUUGGCUAGCAAUGGUAAUGGUAUAGCUGGUGGGAUGGAUCAUGAUGGUUCUGUCCAGGAUGGUUACAGGGCAAAAGUAGAUUUAAACAUACCAAAUUUCAAUAAAGCUGAUGGACAGAAGAUGGAAAGUAGGGAAAUGUUGAAACAUAGUAAACCUGACUUACUAAUCAUGGAAAAUGGGGAACCAGAUGCAGUUCAAUCGAGUAUGAAAGUUGGGGUUGAUGAUGAUUCUGGCCUUGGUAAAAGGAAGGGGAAGAUUAAGCAGAAAAAGUUGCCUUUGAGCAUUUGUAGUAUUAGGGAUCUAGAGAACCCUAAGGAGGAUCUGAAAUCUAAGAGCUCGUCUACAACUGACAACAAUAGGGCCAAAGUUAUUGGCAAUAGUAAGUCCAUCUUUUCUGUAGGGCCUUCUAGUGAGGGUGUCAUGCCAGUUGAGAGAACAUCGAUGUGGAAGUGUCAGGCAUUCAAGGCUCCUGCUUGUGUCAAACAAAAUAAAGUGAUGCAGUCUUAGUGUUCAUAUCUGAAUUUCAGCAAUUGGCGGCUGCUAUUGUAGGAGUUGUGAGCUGUGGUAGUUUUUUAAAUUUAUGCGUUUCAUAUAGAUUUGAUCCCCCCUCUCCCUCACCCUGUUGGUUUUUUGCUUGUCAAUGGCGUUGUAAGACUUGAAGUUACUUAUGUGUAUAUUGAAGUUUUUUCAAAUUGCUUGCUUAUACAUUUUGUACCAACAUCAUUGUUUGGUUUUGCCCCAAAGCUUGAGGUCAAGGCAUACAUAAAAUUUGAAAUGUUCUUGAUUGUUUGAUGGUCGUAUCUGCCGGAGAUGAUGUCAGCUUGUGUAAAGUAUUGCCGCAUCAGAUGGUUGAAAUUAUCAUCAUUGGUCAAGUGCAAUAGGGGAAAUGUCUAGAUUUGUGGCCGUAGCCUCCAUCCUUGAUCACAGGGCUAUUUGUUAAAUCAGUUCAAGUUCUUAGUGAGUGGAACUUUUUGGACCUGUUUUAGGUGGUCUGUACUGUGGCAUUUUUGUAUGGAUUGUAGUUUUUUGUUCUAGUGUUUGUUCUCGAGUUGUUUCGAGUUUAUGCUACUAUAACACACAAGCAUGGCAGAUGGCAGAUAAGUAAUAAAGGAUAUAACAUGUGCGAGUCUUGAAUGAUGAUAGCAGUUCUGACAUUGGGGAUAGCGGUUUGUGGCGGAUUUCACCUGGCUGUUUAUGGAUGCCCACACAGCAUUGCUAUUUGGGUGGUCUUCUCGUGGUUUGAAGCAUAACUGCCCAAAUGUCCUGUUGGAAAGCCCCUUAAUGAUGAUCUUCCUGCAGACGUAGGGAGAUGAAAUGUUGAACAGACAUGGGGGAGAGGUGUUGCUAUCCGUUGCUUAUGUUCUGAACCCGAACUCAAUCUGCUUUGCUUUGACAGGCAAUAGAAAUUUGUCUCAUUGGCUUCAAUUCUUCCACUUUUAGCAUCUUCUCGAUCAGUUUGCAACAUUAGGUACUUUGAAGUCGUGUUUCUAGAAUUCAACCUCUGUUGAAAUUAUCACUCUUUAAUGGUGCUAAAGUCAAAACGAAGGAAGAUGGUGUUGGGACCUUGGGUAUUAACAGUACUGUCAUUGUGCAUGUGCGCUUUGUUUUUAAGGCAAAUUGAAGGAGUGUAAUUAGGCCUAUCCCCGAUUUUUUUUUUUUUUUUUUUAAUACUCUGAUAAUUAUGGAAACAUUGGUUUUAUUUCUAAAAACAUAAGAAAUAACAUCCAAUUGUUGUUUGGUGUGCCAUCACAGCCACCUCUAUCAAGUUGGUCAACCAUGAAGUUGAGUGUUGUUGAUUAGGUCAUUGAUAAAAUCUUUAAAACUAUAGGUAUUGCUAUUAUCUUAUAAAUUUGAAACUCAUAACAUCUUUUUAGUCUUUUGGUAGCUAGUUGCCGUCCACUUGAAAACAUGAAAUGUUAUGCAGAACUCUGAAAUUUUUCAAAAAUUCACUUAUGGAAAACGUCAUUCCAACUUAAACAUUAUUGACUUGCUUCUUUAAUAUCUUUAUUUUUUUCAACCAAAAAAGUUCCUAAAUGCAAACAAAUUCUAAUUUUUAAAGAAUGAUUAAAGUUGGAUAAUCUAUGCUUUACCGUUCAAUGUUUUAACUCGGAAUAUUCUCUAGUUAGCCUGCUGUGAGGUUUAUCUCAAUUCUCCAAUCACAUUUGUUUAGAGAAAAAAUAACGGAGAAAACAAAGAUGGAGAAAAAAAGGAACGAAUUUAAAGACUGCCGCUUCCUUAUUCACUUCCUUUUUUAGGUUCUUAUUUGUAAGGAAAAAAGAUUAUUUUGGUCCCUCGUUUUUGGAAUCUUGGCCACUUUAAUUCUUUAUCUAUUACCAUGAUUAUUUUAGUCCCUUAUCAGUAGCCAAAAAAAAAAAACUCAAUCUAAGACUUCUAAUGAAAAUUUUAAAAACUCUAACGGAGUUAGUCACGUGCACAAUAUGUGCACCGUUGAAAAUGACCAUGUUGAUUCAUUAUCUUCAGAAUCGUGUCCAAUUUUACCUCUAUGUAUGCCGCCACAUUCCAAUUAGGUGUGUGCGUGUGCGUGUGCUUUUUUUUUUUUUUUUUUUUUUUUGUUUUGAAGAUAAACUUAUAAUGUGCGGAACCAACUCUAUUCAGGUCUUUUGAUUUCCUAUUAAAAGUUUAUAGUGACUUUAUUUUAUGAAAAUGACGGUUCAAGUGGUCGAAAGGAUAAAAUUCGAAAACACCUUAAAGAUAACAGACCAAAACAGUUAAUUUUAACAUUGCACAUUUCGAAAACACCUUAAAGAUAACAGACCAAAACAGUUAAUUUUAACAUUGCACAUGCCCUAAACGUGACUAACUCCGUUAGAAUCUUUCAAUUUUCUAUUAGAGGUCCUGAAUUAUUAUAAUUAGUAGAGGUCCUAGAUUAUUAUUAUUUUUUUUAUAAAGAUAAGGGAUUAAAAUAGUCGUGGUUAUAGAUAAUAGGCUAAACUACCAAAAUCCUGAAGGCAUGGAACUAAAAUGGUCGUUUUCCCUAUUUAUAAUCUUGAAUCCUGUUUAUAUUUAGAGAGAGAGAGUGCAUGAACAAAAAGAGUUACUCAUAAAUCGGUAAGUCGUUGCUUGAAAAAAUAUGCUACUAGUAGGUGUAUUAAAUUUAAUAAAAAUGCUCAGUGUAUUCAAAUAUUUCACAAAAAGCAAACCUCAAAAAGAACAUCAAAGCAUUUUCGGAAAAGAAUUGUAUAGAUUUUCAAACGAUAUUAACCCUUUGCAUGAAAAAAAACAGAAGUUGUACAAUGAUUCAAAUUAAUUAAUUGGUAACAAUUUUUAUUUUGAGUUCAAUAUGCAAAACUUUACCUAAGAAGUUUGUCUGUUUACUUCAUUUUGACUACAUUCAUACCUCUUGUAGAACAUUUUUACAUGAAAUGCAUGUAUAACAAGUAGAAAAGUAUAUAGUGAGCACGAAAUUAGGAUAGAAAAUUUGUGAAAAACUGUUAAACAUGAUUUACUGUACAGGUGUAGUCUUCACUCUUCAGAUUAUUGUGAUAUAUCAUUCUAACAAGGAUAUUUUAUUUUUCCUCUCAAUUUUUGACGCUAAAUUUAAUUGUUACCAUCUCUCCACAAAAGUAUUUUAAAAUAUUCAUUAAAAAUAAAUAAAUAAAUCUUAUAUACACUAACACUAUAUAUGCGAUCAUCAUUGGAUUCAAGACAUGUGUGCAAAAGUUGGAAUUUAAUUUCAAAUUUUACAUAAUUGUCAUUCAGUAAAAACUGACAGUAUGUACACUAUUAUUGUAAUAAAAAUUAAUCUAAUUUAAGCACUCACAUACAACUUGUUGCAAAUUAUAGUUGACAAUUUUCGUAAUUCGUCUUUGAGAGUCCUAUUUACAUUAUAAUUUCAGCACAGUGCAGUUUGGACGCUCAACGACAAGAAAAUGUCCUGGUAAAUUCCGCAAAAUGUUCGAGGAAUACAGGUAAUGUAUCAGGAGUUGGGAAAUCAUCCAAUUUUGCAAAAGUUGAGGAUAAGAUAGCUUGUCAAUAAGUGUGGUUACUAAAAGAAGAACAUCCUGAGUGGGUUGCCAAACAAGAAAAGAAGACUCGUGACAGUUGUAUCUGUGAUCCCAGAAGGGAUUCCGAAGUCCAAGCUGUGCAAUGCGCGAACUGGGCUUUCGUUGUCAACACUUUCCGUAGCAGAAAUGCAAUUUGCAAGAAAUCACUUGCGCCCGUGCAUUUCCAAACAAUAUUUCGGGGCAUCUCAUUUUCUUGAGAAAACUACACAAGAUUAUCCUGUUCCAAUCUCAAGUAUGAUAGUGAAACUACAACCGGGCUAGAAAAGGAAAAGCUCUCUUCCAGGUCACGAGCAAACCAGAGGAUAGCGUAAACGACACUUCAUUCACCUGGCCUACGAUUUCGACGCAUCUAAUUGGCUUUUAUCCGAUAUUGCUAAUAUUUCCUCUUUUACUUCUAACCGUAUACUGCUGAGUUUCAAAAACAUUAUUAGACAUUACUUACACAGAACAAAUGCAAGAAUACAUUAUGUCAAGUAGGUAAUCAAGGUCAAUUUGCAAAAUUUCAGUUACAGUUUCAAAUUCCCAAAGAUACAGCACUUGUACAAAUUAUGAAUUAGUUGAAAUUUAGCAGCCGGACCACCCCAAAGCGAGUCAAUAAUGUCUUUCCAUAACUGAGAUAUCUAAGCAUCCAUAAAAAACACAAAGUUGAUCGUGAAGGCAAAGCAAGCAGCUGCGAUCCCAUUAUAGGACACCACAGGCCAAUUGUUCAACUGCCGGAGGACCACUUCAGUAACGCAACAGCGGAAGAAGCUUACACUUCCCAUCUCAACAUUCCACUUCUUCCAGUUGCCAGCUCAGGUUCCUCAUCAGGCAAUCAUUGUCUUCCACUAGCCAGUUCCUCCAAUAUAUUUGAGAUACAAGGCAAGAACUCAACGUCAAAAUCAAAGAAUACUUGCACAGCCACAUAAUCUGUCACUGAGUGUAGUCAUAUGAUGAUAUCGAGUCGUUGUUCAGCUUCCUGUUCUCAAGAAGGGGAGAGUUUCUGUAAGCCACAAUUAAGGCUGCCUUGCAAGUAAAAACGUUAAAGGCUAACCAAAUUUGUGGACAGAGGUGACAACCAUCUGGAAUGCCUUUUCGCUACAUAAAUCAGCAUCCAGGUCAAUCUUCAUGCAUAUCAUUUCCUUGUGGAAAUUCUUAACUAUAUUACAUCUUAGGCAACAAAAAGAUCAGGUACUAUUACGACUUCAAAAAAACCCAAAAAUAAACCAUAUGGAAUAGUUAUACUGGUAGACACGGAUGUAAAGAGGUACUGCAACCACCAAACCAAUCCACCUACUUCACUUACCCACCUUAAUCUGUAGGUUUCUCAUCCCCACACUCACCUUGUCAAUGGUAGGCUCACUUUUCACCUCAUUUUUUGUCAGAUUUUCCAUAUUUAGCCAUGGGUGUUGUAGACACUGCUGAGCAGUUGGUCUCUUCUCUGGUUCAAAAUCAAAAAGAGGACAAAGGAACUCUGCAAACUUUUUAGCAUCUGUCUCAGAAAAUUUGUACUUAUCAACAAGUAAUCGAUCAAGUGGCCAGUAUUUUAGCCUUCGGAUUCUCUUUAAAUCUCCAUAUCUAUCAAAGUAAUCCUUGGACCGAGCCCCACCAGUGGCAAUCUGUCUCAAGAAUAAAUUUGGAACAGAAAAUAAAAUCAGAAAUUAGAUUUCUUUAUCAAUGGUUUUCACCAAGAGAGAGGAGGCAGUAUAUAUACUCACCUUCCUAGGCAUCUUACCAAGGAGUUCCAUCAUCAAAGCAAGAUGAUCCUGCAUGCAAAAUAAACAAUAAAAAUGCAGACUCAGAUGAUAAAUCAAUAGUGAAGAUAUACUGCAAUGUUAGCUUAAAAUAAAGGAGAUUUGAAAGUGGUGAGAAAUCACUGGAUAAUCGUUGGGCUCCUAGUGGUAAUGUGCAAGUCAGCAGAUUUAACCUUUGGCAUUACUAAAAGCAUCGAGGUGUUUACCUCUAAAUUAGCUUGAGUUUUAAAAAUAUGUACUGAGAAUUUUUCUUAAAAAGCAGAAAAAACAACCAAGAUCAAGACCAUAGGUUAUCCAUGACAAGAUGUUUUUAUUAACAAAAAAACCCAUUGAACUAUCAAUAUGGCUUUCGUGUAGAAGCAAACUUUCAUCCUUUGUUCUCAUUUUCUCUUUGCCUCUAAAUUGCCUCUAAAGAAAUCCAAGAAACUUAACACCUCACAUGCAGGCAGGAAGAAAACUUUUAAAUUAUUGGAUUAUGUAACAAGACAACGCAUGAAGUCAAAAUAUUUCCACUACCUCAUCAUCACUGUAACCUUGUCCUUCUUUUGGAGUAAACAGCAUUUCACCAGUAGCAAGCUCAACAGCAGUACAAGCGAAUGACCACAUGUCAGCAGAAAAAGAAUAUCCUGAUCUAAGUAUGACUUCUGGAGCUCUGUACUGUCUAGUUUGAAUUUCUUCGGCAAAUUGCUUAUCCGACCAACAUGCGUUUCCAAAAUCCACGACCUUACAUCUGACAUCGAUUCCAUCCAGGGAUCUAUCUGGCUUGGGGGUUGUUCCUACCCCACCCAUUGAAGCCCUUCUUUCUGAUAUCCUAGCCACUGCUCUUCUUGCCCUUUGUUUGAGCUUCUUCUCAACAAGAUUUAUUGCUGCACCACCAUUUUGGUUCCCCUCUGGCCUUUCAAGAAUGGGUGUCAUUCCUGAUUUAACUGGGUCUUUGGAAGGAUUAAUGGUAGAACACAGGAGAAUAUUUUCAGGCUUUAAAUCUGUAUGUAUAAUUCCAAGCUCCCUAUGAAGGUAAUCAAGUCCAGUCAAAAUGCAUUUGCAUAUUUCCCGAACCUUAUUCAACUCAAGGCCUUUGUAGCGGUUAUAUUUGAUCAGCCGCAGCAAGCUAUCACCGAGAAAUUCCAGGACCAUGCAUAAAUGCUGUCCAUUUGGGCCUGCGUGCUUAAAGUGGUCUACUAAGCGUAUGACAUAUUUGCUAUUAGAGGCAUCACCAUCAGCAAUAGCAGAAAGAAUUUCAAUUUCGUGGAGCGCAGCUUGAGCAAAUUGUGGAGCACUUUUUUGGAUCUUCAGAGCAACAUAUCUCUGUAUAAGGAUGGAAAAAAUGAAAAACAAUGAUCAGCACCAGAAAAGCAUCCAGCCUGAUAUAAAUAGGACACUUUAGACAUAGACAAGUGAAUUUACCAAAAGUUUAUCUAAAACAUACCAUUAUGCAAGGCAAGUUGAAAUGGUUCAGAGCUCCUCAACAUAUACACAUUGUGCAUUACCUCAAAAAUAGAAACUAACAGGCUGCCGACUAAUGACAAUAUUGACAUUAUUAUUCUUUCAUCAUUUGUCCAUUUUAGCUAAGACUGACAAGAAACUGAAUUUGCAAACCACUUUAAUCCAAUUAAAAACUUGUUAUCAAGAAUUCAGGCAUCAGCACCAAAACUGCUUCACGAUGCCUAUUUACAUCACUAUAUUUAGUUUAAAUCCUCAGCAACCAGUGGUCGUGAUAAAUGCUAGAAAACAAUUUCAAAUGAUCAUCAAACAUAUUUGGGGAAGGGGGAAGGGGGGAGGGGGGAGCUUUUAGUCCGCAACCACAAGCACCAGUAACUUCGUACGUAAUUCAAAGCUAUUCCAACUGCUAAGGACCUCUAAGCUCACAUUUCCAAAUCCAAGAAGAAAUUAGCGCAGAUAUUAAGCAUUUAAGCCGCAUCACAGGUGAAACACCGACACAGCAUGCAUUGAAAUCUUCAGUGAAGCUUAAGAAAUGAUACUACUAAUACCUUUGUACCUAAUUUAGAUACGGCUGCCUGCCAGACGAAUUUAAAAUAUUUAAAACAAAAUAAAAGAACUAGAAUCCAGCUCUCUGAUCAAAUGAUUAAUAAGGAAAAGGAAAAAAUUCGAUAACAUUAUCAUAUAAGCACCUGAUCAUUUCAAAUAAUAAAUUCAUAGCAUAUUUCCGAAUUUGGCAGCAAACACAAAGAUUCCGAAUCAAAUCAGUCCACAAUAAUUCUAAAAAAAAAUUACUUUCAUAACUGCAGCAGCAUACACGGUGAUCUCCAUUUAAAUAAUUCUAAUGUCAUUCAGUUUAUGAAUUAAAAACUACAGUAUGCAAAUUAAGUCAAGAAUUAAACGGAAAACGUACAGAUGAUCGAGUAUCAUAAGCCAGCCAAACGGUGGAGAACUGUCCCCAGCCGAGUUUACGCUGAGCGAUGUAUCGUCCACCGGCGAACGAAUCGCCGACUCGCACCGCGUGGUAUCCACCUUUUCUGUAAGAGUCAAUUCCCUCAUCCUCAUCCUCCGACGCCGACGACGAAGAACAGGACAUGAUUGAUCGAUGUAUAUAAUUUACUGCAAAAGCCGAUCUCUCCAGAAAUUGAUCUUCUUCGCCUUCUUAUCUCCAAAUUACAGCAGAAAUGAAGCUGAAGCAAGCUAAAAAUCAGAAAAUAAUUUAGAACGGAAUGAAAGACUUGAAAAAAAAAGUGGGAGAGAUAUAUUCAGAGGAAACUGAAAAGAAGGAAAAGAACUGAUUUAUGUUGCUUUGCGAGUUAACUGUUUAGUAUGGCAUGUGGCCUUCAACACAAGGCUUCUCCUGUUUUUGCUCUUGUUUUUUCUCUCUUUUUUCCCCAUUUUUCUAAUAUAUAUUUUUUAUUUUUAUAAUUUUUAGUGGAACUAAAUCAGGGUGAAGGGGUUGAAUUUGCUUUCCGACUUUACCCAUUUUGGGUUAAUGUGGGAAGUCUACUUUUUAUGGUCCUUGCAUCUACGAUUGUAAAAUACUUCUAUCUACUCAAGUCAUACACCCAUAUAUUUUUACGAUGGAUUAUUUAUAGACAUGAAAAUUGGACUUGGCUCAACUAAUUUUUUGGAUCUGAUUUUGGCUUUUGAUUUUUAAAAAUCUCAACUCCUUUUAGAAAUCUGAUUUUAGAUUUUUGUUGGUCCAAAAAAAACUAAAAGUCAUAAUCAGGUUUGGGUUGUGUUUAUGGUUCUAAUUCUAGAUUAUUUUCUUGUGUAAAUAAAAAUACCCUCACAAUUUUAGUAUAAUCACUAAAGUGUCUACAAGUCAGAUAAUCUCUCAUUCCUCCAGUACUAAUCCCAAUCUCUUUUAUAUUAAUCCAAUUCUCGUGUAUGUUUGAUGGCGGAAUAAAAAAGGUGUAUUAGUUGGGGUGGAGCGAUCGAUGGGGAAGAUGUUGAUAUGCCUUAGCCAACCGCCAUCUGCUUUAAUUAAAUAGGGAAAACAAAUGAUUAAGGUGGAUACUAUACCAUUAAUUAAUGAUAAUCUAUGUAUGCUGAAGACACAGAAGAGCGAAUUCAAAUACAAAAUUUUGUUGCACGCAACGAAUAAAAGAUUGUUGAUGUGGAGUUUGUGCCUUUAGCUCUUUCCCCCCCCCCCCCCCUUUUUUUUCUAGGUAACAUUUUUUUUUCCUAACGAAGUGGAUGUUCGGGUCAAUCCUUACAGGAUCCGAUUAAUCCCACUCCGAUCCGGAAAAAGAGGCCCCAUCCCUCGAAUACAAUAAUCACAGAAUUCGGACCCUUACAGGCACUGGACACCAGUUCCUAAAGAGACUUGCUGAGACCAACCGAGUUAUCCACGAAGGACAGACAAUUUGGUGGGAGACAAGGAUUGAACCCCUGACAUCCCACCCCAUCAGGAGAGGUGGUGGCUACUAAAUUCAAGCAGGAGAGGCAAGGUUUUUUUUUUUUUUUUUCUAGGUAGCAUGGAUUGAUAUCUUUUGAGAUUCGAGAUUUUACCAGUACAGUCACUUCUACCCCGUAUUUCAUAGGUUCGUGCAUUUGCGGUAUUUGACAGACGACACUUGUGUAAUGGAGCCUAAUUCUGUCGUGUUAAAAUUUGGCUUGAUCCAUUAAUCAUUUCUAAUAAUUGUGUUGAGGUUGAUUGCACUUUUUCUGCGGCCAAUUAAUUUGUUUUUAAUAUGUUUAUGCUUGUUGAAGCAAGUUGAACCCAACUUCGAUAUUUAAUGACUAAGGUGAACCUUGACCGGAAUUAGUUGGAUUAGUUCAAGAACCAACCCUUAAUUAGCAUUUAAUGUAUAGUCUCCGCUUGAGUCAAGUGUCAAAUAAAAGAUCCCGUUUAGAUUAUUAUCUUUAACAUUUUUUUAUAAAAAAAAUAUUAUAACGAUUUGAUGUAUAUAAGAUAAAAAAUAUUAAUUUUUUUCUCAAAAAAUAGCAAUUCAAAUAUCCAACAUCAUCCUUGACUGCAUUAAAUAACAAACAAAGAAAUAACUUUAAAGGCCAAUUGCAGACUAGGACAGGAGAUUAUUUGCUCAAAUUUAUUUGCUUACAUCAUUGUUACAAUUUUCAAUACACCUUUUUAUCUUCCCAAUUACCUUUUUAUCUCAUAUAUAUCACAUCACAAAAAGUGUUACAAUAAAAAAUAUCUCAAAUAAUUUACAAUUCAAACACACUCUAGAGGUUUGUUUGGAUAGGAAGUUAUUUGAAAUGUUUAUUUGAUUUGGAAAGUAAGUUAUUUGAAAUAAUUACUGUAGCACUUUUUUUACGAUUUAAUAUAUGUGAGAUAAAAAAAAUGACUGGAAAUUGUGUAUAUGAUGCAAAUAAAACAAAAUCUGAAAUUUUUAUUUGAAAAUCUUGCAAUCCAAACAAACCCAAGAGUGUGACUCCCGAUAUUUAAAGGUCAUGAUAAAUCCUCGGUAAUUAUAUUGAACCGUCUAAAACUAUUUGUCCAUUUAAGCCACUCACCCCAAGGGGAGGGGGAGUGAACAAUUAGCUGUUCAAGUAUACCAGAACAAUAUAACACCUUCUGUAGUCCAUCGUAAAUUGUUUGUAUAAUAUUAUAGCAAAUAUGUUAAAAUUAAUUAUUAUUUACGUGAAUUCUAUAUAUAAUUAUGCGUAUCAAAACUUCGUAAAGUUGUUAUAUUCAUUCUUACAUUUAAAAAUUUUGAGCCAUCAUUGAAUUUGUUUGAAUUUUAGUUUAAUUUUUAUUUACUUGUAUCAUUAACAUACUUUUAAUUAUCUGUUUUAUUUCACGUAUAUUAUGUCAAAAAAGUGCUAUAAUAUAUAUAUUUUUUAAAGUUAUAUCCAAUAAUCUACUAUCCAAAUUAUUGUUUGGAACUAGCCCUUUGUUCUCAUCCUAAAAAGGGCGCAGCGUUGCAAUGAUUAACAUUUUGUAUUUCGAGUCAUGAAGGUCAAGUCACAGAUAGCGUUGAAGCUGAAGUGUAUAGCUUUUACAUGGCCAGAGCGGUCCUGAGCUUUUACACUUGGGGCCUUGAGCCAUAAUGACGAUUGGAAACGUGUUACUUGGAUAAAGUUUAAGAAUAAUUUAAAGCUCAUCUUGUUCAUAUCAGUGAUAAAUAGUCCAGGUAAGGCAGUUUUGGAGUAGUUAGUGCUAAGGAUUUUUUUAAUAACUGCUGUUGUGUGGCUUAAUCUAUUGCUCUCAUCCUUUAUCAACCUAUACUUUAUGCAAAAGAAAGAAAAAGAACAACGAUAGUGGGCAUAGUUAUGCACUAAUUGCUAAAGGGGAACUUCUCAAGCUUGAUACCACUGUGGCAUUACUAAGAAGAAAAUGCCAUAUUCUUAUGCUACAAAUACACUCUGUUUGGAUUAGGUUUUAUAUAUACACUACUAGUUUUUCAGAUAUAAAUCCAGAAUAACACUUCUAAAUGUAUCUCAAAAACACCUGAAUACAUCAAUCAAAGAUACUAAAAAAUAAUAAUUAGAAAAAAUUACGAUUCAUUUUUUUCCUCUAUUACCAUUCCUACUUCUGUCACCGCCGCUAUCACCAUCCCUCUUUCCAUUCUUCACCUGUCCAUUUUCCCUCUCCUUCUCCCCGCCACCUCCACAUUUGUUUGAUCUAUCUGUCAAAUCAAAGGACAAAAAAAAAAAAAAAAGACUUAAAUAGUGAUUUGUUUCUCUCUUUCAUCAUUUUUUUAUUUUAUUUUUUUACCUUUUCAUAUAUCUCUACACCUUUCUCAUUCCAACUAUCAGAUUCAGAAUUCAAAAUUUGAACUUGACAAUAAGAACAACUCUAAAAACCCUCCUUGAUGAGAAGAACUCUUCCAUCUUUUUAUUGUGGGUAAAAAACAAAAAAAUCCCCUGUGGUUAGUCUAAUACACAGAAAAGUCCCCCAUGGUUUCAAAAUAUACAACACGACCCCUCAUGCUUUGAACUAAAUUGUAAAGGUGACAAAAUCCGUUAAACUUAACGGAAAUGGACGAAAUGACCAAUAUGCACUGAUAUAAUUAAGCAAAAGACAGCUAAAAAAAAUCAUUUGUUUUAUUCUCUAAGUAGAGAGAAUUGAGGGUUAAGGGGUAGAAUAGGUAUAUUUGAUAAAAAUUAGGCAUAAAAAAUUUUUUUUAGGUUCCGUUAAGUUUAACGGAUUCCGUCACCUUUAUAAUUUAAUUCAAAAUAUGAGGUAUUGUAUUGUAUAUUUUGAAAUUAUAGGGGGUUUUUCUGUGUAUUAGGUUUAUCACAGGGAGCAUUUUUGUUUUUUACCCUUUUAUUGUAAUCUCACAAUUGAGAAUUUCUUGUCUCAUUAAUUUUUUAACCAUUACUCUCGACUCAUCUGACAUGGGCUGAUCUUGUGCAAGUUGGACUAUAGAAGACAAUUCGAGCAAUAGUCCAAACGAUAAACAAGUCCAGUCCACGACAUGGCGCUACGGACAAUACUGAACCAGACCAUUUUCUUUUUAACUCCCACCAAAAGAACCAUCGUCCCAAAAUUUUGCUAAAUAAUAGUAUGCAAAACCAUCCCUCCCAAUCACUUUUGGCAAUUUUAUCAGUCGAAUUUGACACUUUUGCCAAUCACUUUUGGCAAUUUAUCAUUAAAAGAGAUUUUAGGUGUUAAUUUUUGAAAAUACGUGAUUAAUUUGAAAAAUUAUUUAAGGGAUUCAAUAUUUGUGAUUGUGCGUAUUCCAAUGAUUUAUUAAGUGUAAUUUAAUUGUAUUAACUAGUGCUCACUAGAAAAAAUUAUUUCCUUUUUAUGUCUUUUUUUUUUCAAUAUUGAAGUAGUAGGUAGUACCCCUUCUUUAAUCAAAAUUAAUUGUCUAAUAAAACCAAGGAGCGUAUUUGGAAUUUUGGAUAGACAAUUUUUUGGAGAAACUUUUUUAGUUGCGAAAUUAAGUCGAUUCAUAAUUAUUUUUAAGAUUUUUAAUCAUUUUAUCUCAUACAAAAUUUUCAUUCCCACCACUCUCUUGCUAAAAAAACUGAUAUAAAUUACAUUUUUUCAAUCCCACUUAUUUUUUGUUAAAAAAACUGAUUUAAAUUACGUGACAAGAAGUGAUAUAUUAUCGUUACAGAAAAUUGUUGUUCCAAACAAUCUUCCGUCCAAACAGAGUUAGUAAAUUAAAAUCGCUAUCGCCCCUCCAGGUUCGGUCCCAUGGUUGUAGUCCCAGUUGGGGAGAGUCACGUCCAGGGAUCGAAUCCCGGUUCUACCGUGACCGGUGACGCUUGGGGCAGGCCUCUCCCAACCCGUAAUGGGAUUAGUUGGGUCGUACGGUAACCAGUCCACGGACCCAGAUACCCACUAUGAAGAAAAAAAAAAAAUCGCUAUCAUUUGCAAGAAUCCAUAUGAAAAUUUCCACUACUGCAAAAAAAAAAAAAACUGCAAUAAACAGGCUGUCCUACACUCCUACGCUCCAAGCCCAAUUUCCAACACUACCCCUUUGUACAACUCGAUUUCAUGCAUGCAUCAUGAUACAUCCCUUCAGUCACAUCGAACAGGAAACCCCACCAGCCACCCAUUACAUCAGUUCCCCAUCAGAACCAGGGGUACAUCUGUAAAUCUAUCCACCAUUAUUUCCUCCAAUUUGCUAGAUCCUUUUAUUUUUCUUCGCCUCGCCCGAAACAGAAAAUAAUCCAAAACAAACCCCCAGCCUGGGUCAAAUCUUUCCGUCAAUUGUCAAAAAUUAAAAUAAAAACCACGCACCUUCACCAUUGCACUGUGAUUUGUGCUCUCCAUCGAAAGCACCAAAUAAAAAAAAAAAAAAGAAAAGAAACCAAUCCCCUCUUCCAUCGCCGGCCAACCAACGGCGGCGCUCCGCCGUCAAUAUAUAGUCUUUCAACAUCAAUUCACAAUUACAUCAUUCGUCUGUUGAGACGGUGUCGUCGGAUCGUUUAAACCCUUGCUUCCUUCCAUUUUUAUUUAUGCGGAGAAAUGAAUUUGCAUGGAUUCUAAUUGAGUAGAUCCUUCUCGAUCUUCGGAAUCGAAUUGAGCUGUUUUUUAUUUUUGGUGACGAUUCGAUUGGGGAAAAUGGCGCAGAGUCAAACGCAGGCUCCGAAUAUGGAUCAAUUCGAGGUAUAUUUUAAGAGAGCAGAUUUGGAUCAAGAUGGUCGGAUCAGUGGAAGCGAGGCCGUGUCCUUCUUUCAAGCCGCAAAUUUACCUCGACAAGUACUCGCUCAGGUUCGUACUACUUCCCUACUAGGCUACUGCUGCUUAUGUUUUGUUCCAUUCUCAAUAUACUGAAUUUUGCUGCUCUUUUAUUUAUUUAUUUGUAAUUUUCCAAAAUUAGUUCUUUUUUGGUGUAUUUCUUGGUGGUUGUAUUUCAUAGUAAAAUCACGUGCUUUAGUAUAAAGUGUAAAAUUUGUGUUCUUGUAUGUGAGAACCGGGUGAGAGUGGGUUAACUGUGAUUUUUCAGCUUCGUAGCUACUUUGACAGAAGUGGAGCUCGGGAAAUAGGUGGUUAGGCUACUGGGAUAAGUUGCAAUCUUUUAUAAAUUAUGGCUGUCAUCCCUAAAGGAAGAAAGGUAGAAAAAGAGAGAUGUGCUAAUAAGGAGUAUAUCGAGAUGCACAUGGUGCAAGAAAGAUCGAAUAUGGCAGUGUGGAUUCUUUGUGCGCUCUUGGAGAUAGACCUUAAAGCUUGAAAUUUGUGGUUUUUACCCUUUUUCUGAAAUUGGUUUUUGUUUUCUCAUAUUUUUAGUCCUUGAUGAGAGAUGUAAAUGGUGUGGUGAAUGGUUUUUCUGGAUUUGAAAGUCGUAAAUAGUAGUAUGUUCAAAGUGGUGAAUUCCAGAUUGCUAAAGCCACAAAUGUUGGCAUGGAUGGAAAGGGAAUAAGGGAUGCAUCUUGCUUACCUUGCUCCCUCCUAAAAGAAAUGGAAACACGCAAUAGUCUUUGCUUGAUGCUACAUGUAGGAUAAGUUUGUUUGGUCGAUAUAAGGUUUGCAAUAAAUGGAACAGAGAAAUAGGUGCCUUUGACUUAGUUAUGUGCUCCUCUUGCCCUUGCGGUGGCAAAUAUCUUCUUCUGUUCAUCUCUUUAUAUGUCUUCCUUUUCACAAGUGUGCCCAGCUACCCACCCCCCCGCAGACACAGAGAUUUUGCUUAAGACAUGCAUGUUUUUCUGAUUUCACUUUCGGUCUAAGUGAAUUAUGUAGCAUUACUGUAUGAUAAGGUUAUGUAAUGCUUGAUUCCACGAGAUUUUAUUUUGAACAGCAUAUAACUGUUUAAUAGAUGUGUAUACUUUCGUGUAACAGUUGGCAAUAUUUGAUAUGUGACUAAUAUUCAGGAUUUCAUGUGAUUUUAUCAGCUUUUGAUGGUUUUGUCUUAGGUAAAACUCUAAUACGCAGAGAGUCCUAGAGGCUUGUAUGGGCUUAUUUUAUUGUGUAUGUAAAUGUCCCUCAUUAUUUUUCAAUACUCUUGCUAGCACCUGCUUUUUUCCUGUUAAAAAUCAAUACGGCACUAUUGUUUACAUAUUCCUCUCUUUCUUGCUAAUGUUAAUUACAGUUUCAUUUUCAAAUUUUUGUAUUUUUGUGUUAAUGGUGUAAAGUUAAUCUUAAGUAUUCUAUCGUAUUAUUUUAGAUAGAGGACUACCACUAUUAACACAUCGCUCAAAUACUGUCCUUUGUCUGUUCACAAUAUCAUGGAAGAGAGAAAUAGGUAAAUACUGAGUUUGCUACUUAUUUACGAGUGGGAACAGGUAAGGACUAGCAAAAGUGGUUUGUUAUCUUAUUUUAGUAGUGCUGGAACUUAUUGCUGACUUCUUUCGAGUGUGAUAUGUGCUUAUGAUUGCACCUGUUGCAAAACCACGCUCCAAAAUGUGUAUUUAGUAUGUUAGGACUCAUAUAUACCAAAGUAAUUGUUAUUUCACCAUGUGGUUCAUGGUGCAUAAUCAUGCCCAUGCUUUGUUAGAAAGUUUAAGGUAGUGAAAGUGAUAAUUGCUAGUUGUGUUCGCUUUUCAUGCUACAUUUAUUAUUAUUUUUUUAAUGCGCAAACAGUGAUCUGGUGUUCUGUGUCUCAUGGAGCAUUCUUUAUUAAUGUAACUUCAACUUAAUUUUACUCAUUCAUUUUUGUUUGGUUGCCAUGUUCCAGUUAGUGAUUUGGAUUCUCAAACUGCAGACCUGCAAUUACCUUUAUUAAACAGAUCGUUUUUCUGAAGUGUAAUAAUAGGAACAGGUCAAUUUCAGUUUUAUUUCUAUUUGCAUUUAGUUCUGCUUUAUGGCCUAGGCAGGGCCAGUCCAUUAAUGAUAUUGAGGUUUGAGCACCUUUUUGGGU
This 79847-nucleotide long non-coding RNA is filed under the name Coffea arabica (coffee). Its description in RNAcentral is "long non-coding RNA (CARA_LNC004917)". The record is from RNAcentral. Lineage: Eukaryota; Viridiplantae; Streptophyta; Magnoliopsida; Gentianales; Rubiaceae.